This 51890-nucleotide long non-coding RNA is filed under the name Sorghum bicolor (sorghum). RNAcentral describes it as "long non-coding RNA (SBIC_LNC016379)". Lineage: Eukaryota; Viridiplantae; Streptophyta; Magnoliopsida; Poales; Poaceae. The record is from RNAcentral.
UUCCUAGAGAUGCUAGAAUUCUAGAGAAUUUUAUCUUUAAAAAUCUUUAAAAUAUUGCAUGAUGAGUUCUUGUAUGAUGAGAGUUUAAAUUCCUACCACAGCCAUAUAUACAUGCUUGCUAGACUUUGAGCCACAUAUUUACUAUACUGCUUAUAAGCAUUGAGUGUAGUCAAGCUGUGUAGACCCUUAGGAGCUUGUCAUGUGGUUAAAUCAAGAUUUCACUUGCACGUUCACUCACAUAUGCUGCUUCUACUCCGGAAGUACCAUCAACAUAUAUCCACCCAUUUCCAUCUCCAGAACCACCCAAAAAUAUUCUACUCCUGAUUCGGGAGAGAAUAGCCAAAAAUAUUUCUGUUUUUCCCUUGUGAAAUAAAUGCUCAAGUUAUCUUGUUACUACCACUUGCUAUAUUAUCUCAAGAGAUGAAUGCUCUGAAAAAAUGAAAAGAUACAAGGAAAUAAAAUGGAGCAAGUGCUCGGAACCUCGAAAGAAAAAGAAAAAAGUGAGACGAGAGGUAAAAAUGUACAAGUGUCCGACAGUAGAAUUAGGGGUACAAGAUACCCACCUGAGAGAAAAGAAAAAGAAGAGCAUCUCAUUCUCCUCAAAAAGUUUCAAAAAGCAAGGAAGGUAUGUAUCUCCUCAAAAGAGCAAAAGUAGAAUUAGACUUUCACCAUUGUUAUCACCAUCAUCACCAUACACCAUUCAUUCGCCACACAUGCACGUCUUGAUUUGGCUUAUUGAUUUGUUUCUUUGGAUCCAUGGUUUGACUAUACAAUAAAUGUCUUGUAAGUAUGUAUAUUUUAUCUCCCACCUAUGAGCUCCAGAUAUUAAAGCCUUGUUAGAGUAGGGUGAGAGAGAAGGCACUAUGCCUUAUACCACAAAUACCAUAUAUCUUGAGAGAAGGCAUAUACUAUCACUGCCUUGGUAAGGAUCCAGAAAUACCACAAAAGAGAGAUAUGAGAGAGUCAUACAAGGAAUCUUUGAGUUUUAUUUGAAAAUCUGCAAAAACUUCAGAGCUAUAGCUGAUCAAGAAUAAGAGACAUGGCACUUGACUAGACUGUUCUAUCUUUUAACUACUCAAGACAGAAGUGACGGUUACAAGUCCCAUGGUAAAAGGUAAAGUAAGUAAGUUUUAAGUCUUGACAGUUUACUCUAACUUAGAGAUGAGAUCUUAUUUAAAAGCAUGUGUUCCGUCAAUUUUUAAAGGUAUUGCAACAACUUCUGAUCCAUCGCUGAGAUUAUCAUUGCUCAGGGACGAGCAAGAGGUAAGCUUGGGGGAGUUUGUUGACGGUCCAUAAGUAUCAAAUUUAAUUAUCAAAUAAACAAAGAAAAGGAUCCAAAUGCAACCAACAUCGAGACUUAGGGUUUUAUCUGACAGAAUUCCAUGAGUUUUGGUGUUUGUCUAUUUCUGCAGGGGGUUAUCAGGAAAUACGGAAGAAAGGCCCACACGUUGGGAUUACAUAGAGAUAUCAACGUGCCGCGCAAUUAUCUACAUCUAGAAGACUCCAGAAGCCACGGGAAGGAAGUGGAGGCCGAACGGAGCCAGGCCCUGGGCACCCGCCCCCUAUUGGACUCCAAUCAGGACACUCUUUCGGGAAAGAUCUCCACCGACCUAAAGGAUCAAGGAUAACCGUUCAAUCAAUGUCGGUUUGAUCCAACGGCCCAUAUUCACUUGAAGGGACUAUAAAACCAGACCCCCUGGACCCUGGAGGAGGGAGCCUCUCAACCCUAAUUCAUUAUUCUCAAGGGAGAAGAAGCCUCUGAUCAAGCCUAGAGCCACCACAUCAAUUAGACAUCUAGAUUAGCAUAGCUACAUAGGAUUAGAACUAGAAGGAGUCAAUCUUCGAUUGGUUUCCGGAUCUGUCAAGAGGAUUCUUGGUAAUUCUCUAAUUGUUCUUCUAAUCAUCUUUAUUCUUCAAUAUUAUGAAUAUGACUUUGUUCUACUUCAUUAUAUUGCUUAUGACUUUGCUCUACUUGUUUAUGUUCAAGAUUAUAUUGUUCUUAGUUUAUCAUAGUUAUGUACUUGGCUUAGUUAGAUUGGAUCUAUAUACAUGCUUAGGAUCAUAUAGCGUUUAUCCAUUGGAUCCAUGGGUAAAUGAUAGAUAUUGUGUAGGCGUGGUGCUUAUACCGUAUUUAUCUACGAUUGUACCCAAUAUGCCAGAUCGUGGGGUAGUUCGUGAUAGUGACAGCUUCAUUGAUUCUUAUAUAGUCCCCCUCUCGUGUAUUGGGCUGGCAGAUUAUUACAGGGGAGUGAUUGCUAUGUUUCUCAUUUACCUUGCUAAUAUCACUAUGCAUGGGCGUAGUCUUGUCUCACAAUGAUUGCUAAGUAUGCUUGCACUAACUAUGAUAAUGCUAGACUAUAUAGUUAAGAAUAACAUAGGAAAUAUUCUUGUAGUUCGUUCUAAUACCAUGCUAAUGACUUUCUAGAAUAUCUAAUUGAGGUGCUUAUCAUAUUUAUUAUGUGGCUAAGUUAUGCUGAUCAGAUUAAUUAUCUUUGUCACUAUUCAUUACUUCAUAUAUCCUUUAUGUGACACUUAUCCCUGUAUGAAGGAGUUAGAUAAAUGUUCUCAAUUAUACAUGCAAUGAUAGAUACUCAAUCUCAUAUUCUAUUCUAUAAUCAAUAUUGAUGAUUACUAAUCCCUUCCCAAUGGUAAAAAUAUAAAUAACAAUACCUAGAAUACUUCCCAGUUAAAAUGCUACAUCAGUAUUAAUCUGUGCGCUUGCAGAUCCCAUUCAUUAUUUAUUUAGAAGAGCAAUUGCAUAUUUCAAUACCGCGUCUCUCAUGUCAUGCUGGGGAUGACAACUUGGCUUAAGUGGUAUGAGGGAUAGGUUUGGCAUUUUUGGCAUCGUUAUCAGAAUUAGAAAACUGUCUACUUUUGGUAGUGAUGUUAAGAAUACCCAACAGUGAUGACCACAAGAUGAUCAAGUGCUCAACUUGAAAAAGAAGAAAGAGAAAAACAAAACCCUAUGGAGAUCAAGGCAAAGGUAUUGCUUAGGGUUUUGGUUUUGGUGAUCAAGACACCAUAGAGGGUGUGAUCACAUUUAGGAUAGAUAGCCGUAUUAUAAAGAGGGGAAUUCUUUGGCUAAGCGGUUAUCAAGUGCCACUAGGUGUCAUUGUUCAUGUGCAUGCAUUUAGAACCUAGUGAGCUAACUUAACUCCUUCAAAGAAAAUGUUUAUAAAAAUGCUAACACACGUGCACAUGUUGGUUUACACAUUGUGGUGUUGGCACACUUUGAGAAGGAGGUGGAUUUUGAAGGGUAGAGAGAGGAUGGGUUCCUCCUCGGCGGGAUUUGGCGCUUUUUGAGAAAAUGAAGUGCAUAUUUUCUAUUGCACCGGUGGGAAAUUUGGAGAAGUCGCGGGAGUGUUUCUCGCUGAGGAACACUCACCGGACACUGGCCCAGAAGCACCGAACGUUGUGCCUGUGCGUCCGGUGAGCAGGCAGCCUGGCCCAGCUAGGGUAAGGCACCGGACGAUAGGCACCGGACGCAGUUUGGAGCGUCCGGUGGUGUGAGUCCGGUGACCUGAGUGUUUUGCAGACCUCUCUGUGUUUAAGACCGGUGUGCACCGGACACGUCCGGUGGAAACUUGUUCAGCGUCCGGUGCUCUGUAGGUUACCGUUGGACCCUAACACGUGGCUGACUUUGGAGCACCGGACGCAGGUGUUGAGCGUCCGGUGCCCCUUUAAGAGCGUCCGGUGACCCCGCAGUUUGCCCAGUGAAAGAGCCAACGACUCUAUUUGUUUGAGGGGCUAUAUAUACGUGUUUGGCUAGCUUGGGGCUCACCCUCUUGGCUUUCUUGACUACUAGACAUCCUUGUGAGCCUAAGCAAACACCUCCCACUCAUCUCCUUCAUAGAUUAAACAUCUUUGUGAGAUUGGGAGUGAUUCCAAGUGCAUUUGCUUAAGUGAUUGCAUCUAGUGGCACUUGGGGAUCGUUCUAGCUGCGGUUUUCUUGUUACUCUUGGUGGUUGCUGCCACCUAGACGACUUGGAGCAGCGGAGGAGCUUUGGCACGAGUUGGUGAUUGUUCGUGGCCAUCUCCCGGUGAUUGUGAGGGGUCUUGUACCUUCCCCGACGGAGAGCUGAAAGGUAACUCUAGUGGAUUGCUCGUGUCAUUGAGUUACCUCAAUUGUGGGUAGGUUCUUGUGGUGUCCUAGUGAGGACGAGGUUCGUGCUACACCUCUUAGCCACCGAACCACCAAGUGUUGGUCGACACAAUGGGGAUGUAGCGUGCCGGCAAGCAUGUGAACCUCAGGAGAAAAUCGUGUGUCUCCAUUGUGAUUGUACUUUGGAUUUCUCCCGAUGAUUGGACUUCAUAUUAUUGAUUGGUUCAUCCCCUCUACGCGGUGGUAUAAAGUUCAAACCAUCUCUCUUACUUUCUUGCAAACUAGAGUAGCUUACAUACUUGUAUAGAAACUUUAGGUAGCUCUCUAGUGUAAGUAGAGACAUAGCUCUUGUGGGCCUAGUGAUCAUAUCAACUAGAAUUGUUGGAUAGGUGGCUUGCAAACACCCCUUUAGAGCUAGAGCAAAAAGCUUCGCUUUGUUAUUUACUAACCUCUUGCUCUAGUGAUUUUGUAGAAUUUUUUAAUAGGGUAUUCACCCCCCUCUAGCCAUAUUAGGACCUUUCAGUUACAGCUCCAUCGGCUACUACAGCCGUUGCGGGUACAGAAGCUACUUCUCCUCCAAGCACAUUAGGGAUCACUAAUGCGCAAUCUACACCGAUGACGACCAAUCCAUCAACAUCAGACGGGCAAAUCAAGCUUGCCACAGAUCUAUUGGCAUCGGCAAUGUCGGGAUCUGUUCCUCCCAAUUGGUGGGGUUAUGGUAUGCCCCUAGAGAUGAUGGUGAAGACUCCUAGAACGUCUCAAGUGGCUGAUAUGACAGGCAAGGCUCCUAUGGCAUCGGCACCUCCAAAUCCGCCGAUGAAUCAGAGUCCCCAGUACAUUACAACUACUACUGCAAGACCUUACACUGGGAAUUCUCAAGCUCCAAUGUUCUAGAUGCCUAACGCAUCGGCAGAUUCAAUGCCGACGCAGCAGAGGUUUAUGACACAACCAGGGUAUGUCAAUUCGAUGAUGAUACCCAAUUACCAGUCAUCGGCAGGGCCUAUGCCGAUGAAUGCUAACAGUGGAUGGACUGGGCAGUUUGUCUUUCCAUAGCAGAAUCAUCAGGCUAUAGGGUUUCAACAAGGACCAAUCCAACCUGGGUUUCAGAAUCAAGGGUUGGUCAAUCAGCCGAUGAAUCUUAGUCAGCAGAUUGGUGGUCAGAUGGUUAACCCAGUGUUCCAUGCAGAUCGUGCACCUCAGAGACACGUGGAAGCAUAUCAGCAGGUGCCAGAUCCACAACCGCCUCAUCGGCAAGAUGCCGAUGCUUAUUGGGCCGAUAAGAUAGCUGAAGUAAUGAGAGACCAAUUUGGGAUAAAGCCCAAAGUCAACACUUACUCUUAUCAGACACUGUAUCCUUCUGAAUAUGAUUUAAUUCCACUUCCAAAUCGGUACAAGGUACCAGAUUUCACUAAGUUUUCUGGACAGGAUGAUACAUCGACUAUGGAGCAUGUCAAUAGGUUCAUCAUCCAGUGUGGAGAAGCUGCUAACAGAGAUGAGUUAAGGGUUCGUCUGUUCUCAUCAUCUUUGUCUGGAUCGGCUUUUACAUGGUUUAUUUCGUUACCUCCCAACUCAGUAAUCACUUGGGCCGAUCUAGAGAAGCAAUUCCACAAAUACUUCUUCUCUGGAGUUCAUGAAAAGAAGAUUACUGAUUUGGUCAGAUUGAAACAACGCAAUGAUGAAUCGGUCAAAAGCUUUGUGCAGAGGUUGCGAGAAGUUAAGAAUAAGUGCUAUAGUCUAGUUUUGGAUGAUCGGCAGCUAGCCGAUUUGGCUUUCCAGGGAUUGCUGCCACAUAUCAGAGACAAGUAUGCUUCUCAGGAGUUCGAGAGUUUGAGUCAUUUGGUGCAGAGGAUUUCUGACCAAGACAUUAAACCUUUUGAACCCAAGAGAGCAUGGAAUAAAAAUGUAUCAUUUGUCGAUGAGGCAGCAAGCUCAGAUUCUGAUGAGGAACCAGUCAUCGGCAUGGCAGAGUGGGUGAAAAAUAAGAAGCCGAUGUCUUGCCCUUUUGGGCAUAAAGAGCCAGAAAAAUUUGCAUUUGACAUCACCAAGGCCGAUAGAAUAUUUGACUUUCUACUUCAAGAAGGGCAAAUCAAGUUGUCACCCAAUCAUUUGGUUCCAUCGGCUGAAGAAUUAAAGAAGAUGAAGUACUGCAAGUGGCACAAUGCGACAUCCCACAGUACAAAUGAGUGCAAGGUUUUCAGGCAACAGCUGUAAUCGGCUAUAGAAUCUGGGAGAAUCAAGUUCGAUAAUUCUAAAGCUCAGAAGCCGAUGAACAUCGAUCAACAUCCUUUCCCAACAAAUAUGUUGGAUUCUAAGGGAAAAACCAAGGUCUUGACGUCAGAAGCAGCUGAAAGGAGUGCAUCGGUGGAUCCUCAGCAUCAGAUUACUGCUGAUGCCAAAGGAAAGGGUUUGAUCUAGGAAGGAACUAGUUCAGGAAGGCCUCCCCGAUCUGGCAUUGUGAUAACUCAUAGAAGGCAUCGGGAGACUUGGCAGCAACGUGAACAUCGGUAUCGGCGUCAACAAGAGGAUCGUCGCCGGGAAGAGGACCAACGCCGACAGGAGUGGAAUCGGCAUAAAGAUCACUGGAACUGCCCGUUCUUUAUCCAUUGCUGGGAGGAAAACAUUAAACUGUUUACUGUUAGAGAUUGCCCUGAAUGCAAUGGUUAUGAUCGAUAUGAUAGAUUUAAUCGGCAGUAUCAAAACGAUGAUCGGCGAUUUAAUGGGCCGAUUAGGGGAAGAACUUUAGUUCAUGAUCGGCUGGGGGGCAGGCUCAGUGUGCAUGACAGACUUGGUGACCGUGUUGGGUAUUUUCCCAGAAAUCAAGAGGAGCUUGAAGAGAUGGUCGAUGCACGAGUUCCCGAUGAGUUCAUAUUUUGUAGGGAUGCUAAUACCUAUUGAGUGGAGUCAAGGGAAAGUCAUCGCCCAUCGGCAAGGCAGCCACAACUUCCUCCAUGGUGUUCGGAGGGGCUGACUAGGACUCAGAAAAUAAGGCUGCAGCGUGAAAGACGAGAAGAUUUGAGCAAGGGAGAGAACUCUGGCAAGUCUGGAGAUCAGCAGCAACCGGAUCCUAAAGGGAAAGGACCAUCGGCAGAUGUUAACAUGGUAUUUAUGUUGCCGAUGGAGUUCCUUGCGCCGUCCAGUGAUGAUGAAGAGGUGAAUUUUUCUGACCAGAUAGCUCAGUUGGCUCUAGAUCCAAUGACGGCUAUCUUUGAAAAACCUACCGACAAUGAAAGACAGCAUCUUAAAGCCCUGUUUGUCAAAGGUAGGGUUGAUGGGCAGCCGAUGACCAAGAUACUUGUUGACGGUGGGGCUACUAUCAACAUUAUGCCGUAUGCAGUUUAUCAGAAGCUUGGGAAAGGAGACCAGGACUUGACCAAGACCGAUAUGAUGCUGAAGGAUUUUGAAGGAAAUGUGUCUUCGGUUAAGGGAGCAGUAUGUGUCGAGUUGACCAUCGGCAGCAAAACCUUGCCGACAACUUUCUUCGUUAUCAGUGGACAAGGUGCUUACAAUCUACUGUUGGGAAGAGAUUGGAUUCAUGCUAAUUGUUGCAUCCCAUCAACAAUGCACCAAUGCUUGGUUCAGUGGGUAGGUGACAAGAUUGAGAUUGUCCUGGGAGAUUCUUCUUAUGUCAUCGCAUCGGCAGAAGCAGAUACUUAUGAAAGGACCAGGUGCAUCUCGGGAGAGAUUUGGGAGAAGGAUUUCCUCAAAGUUGCUGAUUAUGAGAUUCCACCGAUCCAAGCAGUCGGUUCUGAUGAGGAGUUUUAAUGGAUAGGUUCGCCGAUGAUGGAAAAUUAGGCCAGGGGUUUACAUUGGUCGAUGAUUUAGUAGAGGUAGAUUUAGGUGAUGGUGAUAGGCCAAGGCCUACUUUUAUUAGUGCUAAGUUAGAUUCUGAGUGUAAGCAACAGUUAACCGAUUUGUUAAAGGAAUAUAAAGAUUGCUUUGCUUGGGAUUAUAUCGAGAUGCCUGGUUUGGACCGAUCUAUUGUUGAACAUCGGUUGCCGAUCAAAUCUGGAUUUCGGCCAUAUCAGCAGCCAGCCUGCCGAUGUAAUCCUAAUAUUCUUCCUGAUAUUAAGGCCGAAAUAACCAAACUUAUCGAAGCUGUCGAGGGUAUCGGUAAGGGGUACCCUCAGCGACGCGCAUUAUGAGAUUGCCCGUACGAAGGUCGAGACCCUCAAUUCGACGCUCUGAUCUUACGUAUGCGCCGCCAUCGACUGUCGCAGCCUCGAAGACGGAAAUAGCGUCGAGCGAAUCGGUCAGGGCUCGAGCGACGACUGCCGUCGAAAACGGAAGCGGGCUCGAGCGAACCGAGAGGCGUCGGGCGCAAGGACACUGUCCGCCGCCUAACGCGCGCACGCGGGCCGGAGCAUUAAAUGCACCUGACGCUUCCCCACCUAACACACGGGUCACGGAAGGCGUGAUAGGGAACAAGCUUCUGUCCCAUCGUUCUUUUUGCAGCCUUCCCACCGAACGACCCAGGGCGUGUCAGGACGCAGGAAACAAGGAUGGAACGUCUAAUCGGGACCCCCUCGAGACACCCAAGGUCAGCGCUCCAGAUAUCAGCAUAUUACACGGCGUCCGACCCUCGACCGAACAGGGUCCCUUCCUAGGGACAAGUUGGGCGUCGACUGACAACACCACAGCUACCCCGCCGGAUCCGCCACCAUACCGUACAAGCAUGCGACCUCAGAACCAGCACAAGGCGGCUGGCAGGGCAGAACGCAGGAGCACGCGUAAUCAUCACCGGGCUAUCAAGAUGGGACGGCUCGAGGCCAUGCCGUCGGAAGCCUCGAGUAGGUCAGCGCUCCAUGCGGCUAUCGAUCCCUACUCUAACAUCUACGCAUGUACCCUGUGUCUCUCCUUGGAGCUAUAAAAGGAGAGACUCAGGAAUAGAAGAAGGGGACAUCACAACACAAGACCACGCUCAUACGUAGUAAAGCUCCACACUUCAUACCACGCUUGUAUUCGCCCCUGUACAAGCACUUAGGUGCAAGAUAAUACGAACUCUCUCCCCCCGCUGGACGUAGGGCCUUCUCUUGCCCGAACCAGGAUAAAUCUCUGUGUCUUCUUGCAUCACCAUCCGGGAUAGGGAGCACGCAUACAAAUUUACUCGUUGGUGUGACCCCUCGGGGGAAAAACACCGACAGUUGGCGCGCCAGGUAGGGGUCCUGCGUGUUUUUCAUCGAUUUCCCACUACUUUCCGGAUGGCUACUCUUGCCUCGCCGCUUCCGCGCUCCACGGUGAUUUGGUUUGGGAGUCUCGAGUUCAUGUCUACGGGCUCCGGCUACGACAUGAUCUUGCUCUCAGUCAAAGGACCAGGAGGAGUCUGCGUUACGCCAGCACGGUUGAAGGCCCCGAGACGCCCUCACCACCAUGCCUCCCCGCCUAAGAAGAGGCACGGACAGCACCACCGCGGCCCUUCUGCUUCAGCACGACCAACAACUCGUGCGAGGCAGGAUGUGGGCCACAAGUCGGCAGCACCAUGUGACGGAGCAACAAGUGCGACGACUCAGCACCGCGCGACGACGGGAGGGGACGCGUCUCGCGCCCUCUCCCCCACCGCAGCUAGGCUACUUCCACACGGGUUGUUCUCUCCAAGGGCGGCACUGCCGUUCGGAAUGGACAACGCCGCGGCGUCACUCGCCAGGACGAUAUGCCCAAACGCCCAGACGUACGUGGAAAGACCCAUGGUCCUCCCACAUAGCUCUGAAGCACGGCGGCCGGCGUCCGAGCUGCCGGACCUUUCCCGAGUACGAGGCCUCCGUCGUCUAGGCCCUGGACGAUACUCGAUCACCUCCCUCAGGCAACGAUUGCUGGAGGAAGGACGUGGGUGUUUUUACGCCGCCGAACCGGACUCCGACUCCGAGACAGACAGCUAUGACCCUACGAGGGAAUGUUAUCACAUCGACGGGGCGGUAGAAACUACUGACGAGACACGGGAUGCUGCUGCGGGUGGUCGAGCCCCCGCGGCGCGAGAAGACCCCAGGACGCCUGGGAACGACGGACAAGUCGACCCCCCACCUCAGGAAGACAGAAUCGCGCAGCUCGCGCAGCUGCGGGAGCUCAAAAUGAAGCUCGACGAAGACCGCGAGCGCCUCGUCCUGCUCGAGCAAAUCCUCGAACAAGACCUGCCCUACCCGCCGGGCGGAAGUGUCCGCAGACGCGCUCGAGAGGUACAUUGACAAAUCGUCGGUGACGCAGAGGCGGAGCAACCUGUCAGCCGUUUCCCUCGAGCAGGCCAGAAUGUAGUGGCAGCGACGAUGCUGCUACGUAACAUGCCAGAGCCGUCGAAUUCCCAGGCCCGACGCAUUCGAGAUGAAGUUCAGACAUUGCUCCAGGUGGCAGCAGUUCAACAAGCCGAAAGUUCGGCGUCUCGACGAGGAGCUGCCACAGAGAAGCGCGACGAACAGCCUCUAAACGAAGAGGAGGUGUCAGUCCAUCAACAACCUCCCCCUCGAGGUAGAAAGACCGCUCUCAUCCUCCCUGCCGACAAUCAACGUCGACACGACGCGCGGCACGACAUCAAAGAAAAUAGACGCCGCCGGCACGGAGACGCGGAAGAACGUGGUUAUAGCGCGCAUCGCGGUGGGAGAUACGACAGCGACGAGGACCGGGUGGCCCCCGAGCCACCGGGCCCGCGGGUGUUCAGCAGGGCGAUUCGCAGCACGCCCCUGCCCAAUCCGUUUCGACCCCCGACCAGCAUCGCGAAGUACAAACGGAGAGACCAAACCUGAGUUAUGGCUGGCCGAUUUCAGGUUGGCCUGUCAGCUAGGUGGCGCUCGAGGUGAUGACCGAGCCAUCAUCAGACAGCUACCCCUUUUCCUCUCCGACACCGCCCGUCGAUGGCUCGAGGAACUCCCUGCCAAUCAGAUCCACAACUGGGUUGAUCUGGUCAGAGUCUUCGAGGGUAACUUCAAAGGGACCUACAUACGGCCAGGGAACUCGUGGGACCUCAGCAAAUGCAAGCAGAAGUCAGGAGAAACUCUUCGGGAGUACGCUCGACGCUUCUCGAAGCAGCGCACUGAGUUGCCGCACAUCCCUGACCACGACGUCAUCUUGGCGUUUGUCUCGGGCACCACCAGUCGAGACUUGGUGCGGGAAUUAGGUCGCAAUCGACCUCAGACCGUCGACGAGCUGAUGGACGUAGUAGCUAACUACGCGGCAGGGGAGGAGGCAGUCGGCGCCUUCUUCAGCUCAGAAGGAAGAAAAGGCAAGCAGCCCAUCGGUGAAGAUGGGACUUCCAGUCGAGGCCUCAAGAAAAAUAAAAAGAAGCAGAAAGUGCGGCAGUUCCACCGGGAAGAUUCAGAUGACAACCUCGUCGCCGCCAUGGAUCGAAAGAAGCCGCGAGGCCCUCCGGAUGGAGGCAUCUUCGACAAGAUGUUGGAGGAGCCGUGCCCUUACCAUAAGGGGGGCGCCAACCACAAACUCAAGGACUGUCGUAUGCUGAGAAAGCAUUUCGACGGUCAGGGGUUCAAAAAAGAUACGCGUGAUGACUCCAAGAAAGAGAAGGCUGGCGGCAAGGAGGACAACAAAGAUGACGACGGCUUCCCCGCCGUCCACGACUGCUACAUGAUCUAUGGCGGGCCUUCGACUCGGUUGACCACGAGGCAGCGCAAAAGGGAGCGUCGCGAAGUCUUUGCAGCAAGAAUGGCGGUGCCCCAAUACCUUAGCUGGUCGAGCACUCCCAUCACUUUCGACCAAGAAGACCACCCUGACAAGGUAGUCGCCCUAGGCGUCUACCCGCUCGUCGUCGACCCCAUCAUCGUCAACACCCGACUCUCGAAAGUGCUGAUGGAUGGUGGUAGCAGCCUCAACAUCAUCUACCUCGAGACCCUCGAUCUCCUCGGCAUCGAUAGAGGACGCCUCCAGCCAAGCGCCGGCGGUUUCCAUGGCGUCGUACCAGGGAAAAAGGCACUGCCAGUAGGUCGAAUCGACCUACCGGUCUGCUUCGGCACGGCGGCCAACUUCAGGAAGGAGACCCUCACCUUUGAGGUGGUUGGGUUCCGAGGCACGUACCACGCCAUCAUCGGGCGCCCGGGCUACGCCAAGUUCAUGGCUAUACCCAACUACACAUACUUGAAGCUGAAGAUGCCUGGUCCCAAAGGCGUCAUCACUGUCAGUUCCUCCUUCGAGCACGCGUACGAGUGCGACGUCGAGUGCGUCGAGUACGGGGUGGCGGUCGAGAGCUCCACCGAGCUCGUUGCAAAGCUCGAGGCCAUGGCCGCUGAGGCUCCAGAGCCUAAGCGUCAUGCGGGCAGCUUCGAGGCGGCGGAAGGAACUAAGAAGAUCCCGCUCGACCCCAACAACUCCAACGGCAAGGUGCUAACGAUCAGCACCGACCUCGACCCCAAAUAGGAAGCCGUGCUCGUCGACUUUCUCCGUGCAAAUGCUGAUAUGUUUGCAUGGAGUCCCUCGGACAUGCCAGGCAUACCGAGGGAAGUCGCCGAGCACUCCUUGGAAAUUCGAGCCGGUUCCAAGCCAGUGAAGCAGCGGUUGCGCCGAUUCGACGAGGAAAAGCGCAAGAUCAUUGGCGAGGAAGUCCACAAGCUUUUGACGGCCGGAUUCAUCAAGGAGGUUCAUCAUCCUGACUGGUUAGCGAACCCUGUAUUAGUUAAGAAAAAGAAUGGGAAAAUGAGGAUGUGUGUCGAUUAUACUAGUUUGAAUAAAGCAUGUCCAAAAGUUCCCUUUCCAUUGCCACGCAUUGAUCAGAUUGUCGAUUCUACCGCGGGAUGUGAAACCCUUUCUUUCCUUGAUGCUUAUUCUGGUUACCACCAAAUAAAAAUGAAAGAGUCCGACCAGCUCGCGACCUCUUUCAUCACACCUUUCGGGAUGUAUUGCUACGUGACCAUGCCAUUUGGGCUUCGAAACGCGGGAGCCACGUAUCAACGUUGCAUGCUCCACGUAUUUGGCGAACAUAUAGGCUCAACGGUCGAGGCCUACGUCGACGACAUUGUCGUCAAGUCAAAGCGACGAGGAGACCUGAUCCAGGACCUCGAGGUUGCCUUCAGCUGCUUACGCACCAGCCGGAUCAAGCUCAAUCCCGAGAAGUGCGUUUUCGGCGUGCCUCGAGGCAUGCUCCUAGGAUAUAUCAUUUCGCAGCGCGGUAUCGAGGCCAACCCCGAGAAAGUCUCGGCCAUCACGAAAAUGGGGCCAAUCCGAGACAUCAAGGGUGUGCAGAGAGUCACGGGGUGCCUGGCGGCUCUGAGCCGUUUCAUCUCGAGACUAGGAGAAAAGGCAUUACCAUUAUAUCGACUCCUAAAGAAGGUCGAGCGCUUUUCUUGGACCCCCGAGGCCGAGGAAGCACUCGAAAAACUGAAAAAGACGCUGACCUCGGCACCAGUCCUGGUUCCACCUCAACCUGCAGAGCCGCUGCUCCUCUACGUCGCGUCGACGACCCAGGUCGUCAGCGCGGCGGUGGUGGUCGAGAGGCAGGAGGAGGGACACGCGUUACCGGUUCAGAGGCCAGUAUAUUUCGUCAGCGAGGUGCUUUCGGAAACCAAAGCACGUUACCCCCAAAUCCAGAAGCUGAUUUAUGCCGUAAUCCUUGCUCGUCGCAAGCUGCAGCAUUACUUCCUCGGCCACCCCAUCACGGUGGUCUCGUCUUUUCCUUUAGGCGAAAUAAUCCAGAGCAAAGAAGCCACGGGAAGAAUAGCAAAAUGGUCCGUCGAGCUCAUGAGUGAGACUCUCACUUAUGCGCCUCGAAAGGCCAUCAAAUCGCAGGCCCUGGUAGACUUCAUCGCAGAAUGGACGGACACCCAGCUCCCCCCAACCCAGGUCCAGGCGGAACUAUGGACGAUGUAUUUCGAUGGGUCGCUCAUGAAAACAGGAGCCGGAGCCGGCCUGCUGUUCAUCUCACCCUUGGGCGUCCACAUGAGGUACAUAAUCAGGAUUCAUUUUGCCGCAUCUAACAAUGUCGCAGAAUAUGAGGCCCUCGUCAACGGUCUCAAGAUCGCUAUCGAGUUAGGAGUCCGACGCCUCGACGUCCGAGGCGACUCCCAACUCGUCAUCGACCAGGUAAUGAAAACCUCGAGUUGCCACGACCCAAAAAUGGAAGCGUACUGCAAGGAGGUCCGUCGACUCGAAGACAGGUUCCACGGCCUCGAGCUUGUCCAUGUCGCUCGACGCUACAACGAGGCAGCCGACGAACUCGCCAAGAUCGCAUCUACCAGAGGCACAGUGCCGCCUGAUGCAUUCUCAAAGGAUCUUCACGAGCCAUCCGUCGACCUAGGCACGGGGGCUGGCGUCGACACCACCAUCGCCCAACCAACCAAUGCUGUCGAUGCGCUCCUGAUGGAGGAAGAGGUGAUGGAGAUAGAACGACGACCGGGUCGACCAUUCGAUUGGCGCACACCGUUCCUCGACUGCCUUAUCCGCGGUGAGUUGCCAGAAGACAAGACAGAAGCUCGUCGUAUCGCUCGACGGGCCAAAUCAUAUGUGAUCUAUGGCGAAGACAAUGAGCUAUAUCGACGGAGCCCGACGAGGGUCUUACAACGUUGCAUCACCGUAGAGGAAGGCCGAAAACUCCUCAAUGACCUGCACUCGGGGGCUUGUGGCCACCACGCCGCCCCACGGACCCUUGUAGGAAACGCUUUUGUGCAAGGCUUUUACUGGCCAACGGCCGUGGCGGAUGCCAUCGAGCUCGUAUGCUCGUGUCAUGGGUGCCAAUUCUACGCCAAACAGACGCAUCUGCCCGCCCACGCUCUUCAGAUGAUCCCCAUCACCUGGCCGUUUGCGGUAUGGGGGCUCGAUUUAGUAGGACCUCUACAAAAGGUGAAAGGAGGGUAUACCCAUUUGCUGGUGGCCAUCGACAAGUUCUCCAAAUGGAUCGAGGCUCGACCCAUCACCAACAUCCGCUCCGAGCAGGCCGUCCUUUUCUUCUCCGACAUCAUCCAUCGGUUUGGGAUCCCCAAUGUCAUCAUCACCGACAACGGCACCCAGUUCACCGGCAGAAAGUUCUUGGAUUUCUGCGAUCAGCAUCACAUCCGUGUGAACUGGUCUGCAGUAGCCCACCCUCGAACUAACGGCCAGGUCGAGCGUGCCAACGGCAUGAUUUUGCAAGGACUCAAGCCAAGGAUCUACAAUCGAUUGAAGAAAUUCGGCAAGAAAUGGGUCGAGGAGCUUUCCUCAGUCCUAUGGAGCCUUAGGACAACGCCAAGCAGGGCCACAAAAUACACCCCGUUCUUCAUGGUCUACGGCUCUGAAGCUAUCCUCCCCACAGACCUCGAGUAUGGGUCACCACGACUCAAGGCUUACAACGAGCAAUCGAACAAAGAGACUCAGGAAAACGCGGUCGACCAACUCGAGGAGGCUCGAGACAUGGCCCUCCUCAACUCUGCUAGAUAUCAGCAGAGACUCCGACGCUACCACGACAAGCACGUGCGCAAGAGGGACCUCAACGUAGGCGACCUUGUCCUACGACGCCGGCAAAGCAACCAAGGACGCCACAAGCUGACCCCACCUUGGGAAGGCCCGUAUGUGGUGGCCGAGGUCCUUAAGCCAGGAACGUACAAAUUGGCGGACGAAAAGGGGGCAGUCUUCACCAACGCAUGGAACAUCGAACAGCUACGUCGAUUCUACCCCUAGAAGUCCUAGACUUACGAUCCUACUUUUUGUACGAAGACUUUGUAAAUGAACGCAUGAAUAAAUAAAGUCUUUCCCUCGAGCGGCUUCUUUCUGUACCAAAAAUAGUUACGAGUUAUAGUCUCGACGUCAAAAGGGGAUGCCGACCAUGACCCAUCGUAGUCCGCACCCCCUCGGGGGCUACCAGAGGGACGACCCCUCCCCAAGCGUCGAAAAAGCCAAGAAAUUUUCUUUUCUUGCUUGGUAAACCUUGCACGGUUCGAGUAGCCAAGGCACCUCGAGCCCCUCAAAGGCCGAGGGAUAAUGAGCCCGAAAACUCCCACGCCCCUGGGCUACGGAAACUCUACUCACUUCCUCACCCUUGAGGAAAUCGAGGUUGUUUCUGACGAAAGGUCGAGCAAGGGAUACAAACGUAGGAACAAAGAGAAACAAAGGAACCUCGAGCGGAAAGACAAAUAAGCAGUUAACAAUUACGAAAAGAUACUAUAUCACGUAACAGCAAAAUUAAUAAAGUAUCGUACAAGGGGCCUCAGGCGCCCUGAGCAGGCUCGCAGGCCUCAGUCAGCGGCACGAUCCUCACCGCCCUCGCCUCCGCCCGAACUAGCCUCAGGAGGGAGCACCUCAGGCUCGAAGAGCUUGGCCAACCUUUCCCCAGGAGCCUCCGCGUCGUCGAUCAAGGCAUGGAGCCUCUCCUCGUUCUCCGCGUCGGUCUUGGAAAUGUCGGUGACGAAGCCAUGGGACACCACCUCCAUGUCGUAGGAGAAGCCCGAGCAGACAACCGCCAUCGCCCGCUUCACCCCGAUGUGGAGGGCGUCCCGCACCCGAUCUCGCAGCGUUGCGCCUAUGUAGCACAACUGGUCGAUCAGGGCGUCGCCUCGAGCGUCCUCCCUCAACUCAUCCAUAGGCUCGACCUCCCAAGAGGUCGAGAGAUCGCUUAUCGCCGUCCGCACUCGACGGUUCGAAGCAACCUCAGCCUCGAGCUGAGCCUUGGCGUUGCGAGCCUCGGCUUGGGCGGCUAGGAGUUCGUCCUUGAGCCCUAUAAAUGCCAAUACAAAGAAGCUUUAGGAAAAACUCAAGCACACCUCGAAAAGGAAAUUCGACAAAGGAAACAUACCUUUGAUGCUCUUCUCUAGGGCCGUGUUCUCGCCGACCAAUCUGGUGUUGGCACGCUCGAUCUCUCUGUUGGAGCGCGCCAGCUCAGUAUUGGCGACGCGGAGAUCUUCGAUCACCCUGCCAGCCUGAGCGACGGCUCCACUCUUCUCCAGCAAUUCUCCCUUCAGACGCUCGACGUCGUCAGAGAGACUGCGGGAUCGAGCUCGCUCCAUCUCGAGGUCUUCGAGGGCCUUCUUCUUUGUGUCCUCGGCGGCACCCCUGGCGACCUCAUUGUCCACGAAUGCCACUUUCAUCUUUUGGAAGGUAUCGCGGAGGGAGUCCAGGUCGGUUUGGAGAAGGCCCUUCUCCUUGUCCAGGUCCGCAAUGACGCUCUUGUAGGACAGGGCCUCCUCCCGGGCUCUGGACGCGGCCUCCUCGACCGUAAGAGCCCGCUCCCGUAGCUGCAUCGCCUCCUCCUCCGCCUUCUUCGAGACCUCCCGGGCCUCGGCCAAAGCAGCCUCCCUCGCCUUCUUCUCCUCCUCGAGUGCUAUGAGAUCUUUGUAAGCUUUAAGCAGCUUUUCCUGCGACUCGAGGAGUUGAUCCUUGAGGAGGGGAAGCUGCUCCCAUCCGCCCCUCGUGGCAUGUAUGAAGCUGGACUUGAUGCGAGAGGUCUCUUUCAUAUCCUGCGAAUCAGGGGUCGGAUGGAUUAGAAUACAGAAACCAGAAAGCACCAUAAAGAUUGGAGUUCGAGAGACACUUACAAAAUAAGCUGGCCCGAGCCCGUUGUUGAUGACGUCCGAUAGGAGCCCCACCACGUGUUUCAUCCAAAGGCGGAGCUCCUCGACAUGCUCCCACUUCUCGACCUCCUUCUUGUCGUCGAGGAAAAUAUUGGGCUCGGACGGGUCGGUGGAAGCUCGGAUACGAAUCCGAUUGGGACACCAGUUCUCCAUCUCCCGAUCAGCCCGCACCUUGACGCCGCGGAGAAAGUUCUCGACGGUCUCGAGGGAACCCCCAUGGCGCAAGAACAGGUCGGCGAGGCAAGGGAACCGCCCGUCGUCGUCCACCGUCUUCCACGUACCGUCCUUGCUCCCAGACGACCCGAUCUCAUCCUCCUCAGAGGGAAAGCGGUCCUCCCAUGCUCGACGCUCCCGGAGGAACCCUGGGGCGAUCCCGUCCAUGCCGUAGAUCGUCCUCUUGAUCUCGGACUCGGGGUCGGUGGGGGUGCGCAUCAUGCAGGCGAGCGCCACCACUCCGUCCGCUCGCCCCGACUCUGCCUGGAUCGCGGCAGGCGCCCCCGGGAGGAGCCACGCUGGGGUGGGAGGUCCGUACACCGACAAAUUUCCCUCUUGAUCGCCGGGCUCUUGCGACGCCAGUGGCGCCGGUUCGGCCAAACCUUGAGGCGGGGGCUCGAGUGGCUCGUCCUCUUGGCCCCCCAGCUGCUGUUGCUGCCCCAGCUGCUGCUGCUGCUCCUCCUGCUGAUGCUGCAGCUGCUCCUCCGGCUGGGGUCGCUGCUGCUGCUGCUCCAGUGACGGCUGCGUCGCCUCGCGCUCCCGCUCCUCCUCCUCCACCAUCUUCCUUUGCGCCUCGAGAGCUCGAAGGCCUGCAGGCCAGGGAGUCCGUCCCGCGACGUUGGGGGUCGAUGCUUCUUCCUCCAUAGGUCGAGCGCCCCCAGACGCUUCGUUGCCAUCAGACGUAUCGCUGAUGGUGAUGGGUUCCCCCUCGACCCCCAAUCGAGAGGGCUCGGGGGCUCCCUCUGACGCUCGCGUCUGGGGGGCCGCAUCAUGAGUCGGCGGCGGCGGAGUAGACGCGGGACGAGAUGAAGCCCUCUCGACGCCGGCUGGAGGUUGGGUGCUGGAUGAGCCUACAAAACAAAGGGUAAGGGUCAGACGUUAUGAUAACCAACGCAAGAAUAUCGCGACGCCCGGGAAUUAACUACGAACCUGGUUCCGUGGAGGCGGCACCCGUUCUGAGCCUCUUGGCCAUAGACGGUUGGGCCUGCUCAAGGGUCCGCUUCAGCCUGAGAAAAGGUCGGCAUAUGAGGAAAGGUGGAAGAAUGGGAAGACAAAAACCGCAACAUCAAAAAAGGCUUACCCCACGGGGAGAACGGCUCGCCUUCCGCCACCCCGACCAGCGGGCCUCGAGCCACCCCGCGUCGGGGCUCCGGGCCCCUCGAGGGCACGAACCGGCUUAGGUACGUCGGUCCCCGCCUGGCGGACGCCGGGACCCACGCUCUUACGGCCGGCGUCUCCUCUCUCAGAGGCCGCAGCGCGACCACGGGUUAGCGGCCCCGACGCCUGGGACCUAGCCGGAUCGCUCUCCCUGGGCACCGGGGGAGGGCGCGGUGCGUCUUGUCCCGCCUUGGGCGCGGGAGGGGUGUCGGCCCGGGGACGACGAGAUCCGCUCGGACCCUCCUCUGGCGCCUCUGUCCGGGGGGCGUCGGCGUCGCCUCGAGGCGGGCCCUCGAGAAUCCGAUCGAGGCGCGACGCCAUCCCCUCGGAGUCGUCGCUGUCCUCGUCGUCAUCGUCGUCAUCAUUGGGGGAUUCUUCCUCAGGCUCCCCCCUCUGCCUGGAUUUGGCUCGACGCGCCUCUAAUGCUUGGCGGUCGAGGUUCUUCUUCUUCUCCCCCUUCUUUGCGGAGACCUUGGCAGACUUCAGCUUUUCGGCGGAUUGGCGCCGUUUGUCGCGAUCGACCUCGUCCUCCUUUACCGGAGGCCUCGAGGACCGGACAUCAAUCCGACCCUGCCAAAACUAAGGUAGACUUAGAAAAAAGAGAGGGGAGAAAGGAAACCCAGAAUCGGGGAUGCGCGUAAGAAGAAAGCGUACCAGAUCGAUCGAGCCUGCGUCAGGUCUCAUGGGGAAGCCGUUGACAUGCUCCGGCUGAAAAUCACCGGCAAUUGCGGCCCUGACUCGGGCCGCGACUUUGUCGUCCGCCGGAGGCUCGUUGGACAUCCGACAUGCCUCGAGGUCCCGAGAUGAGACGCCAGGGCCCAUCUCGUCCAUCCUCAACGGUCGUGACAUCAGAGGGAGAACUCUCCGAUGAUGGACGGCCGAGAGGACGAGGGCGACGGUCAAACCUUCCUAGCGAAGCUUCUUCAGGGCGUCGAGGAGAGGGUCGAGCCGAGACUGAUGAGCUUGGACGACGCCGUACGUCCAGUCCGCUGGACGCUCCAAGAUCAGACGGCCCGAGUAGGAAGGCAGGAGGUUGUCGUCGUUCCGCAGGUAGAACCAUUGGGAGUCCCAGCCGUCGUGGUUGGUCGACAACCCUACCGGGAUGUACUCCCGCGGCCGGUCCGUCUUCCCCGUCUUCUGCACCAGAUUGAGGCAACCCGCCCGCACGGGCUUCCUUACGCCCGUGGUUCCGGUGGGGGCGUGAAACAGCUCGCCCCUGUAGAGGUGGAGCCACAGCUCCCAGUGCGGCAUCAUCCCCAGGAAGCCCUCACACACGGCGGCGAAGACCGCCGCUACGGUGAUGGCGUUUGGAGAGAAGUGCUGGAGCUCCACCCCAUAAUGGAAGCAGAGGGCCCGCAUGAAGCGGCUUGGGGGCGCGCCCAGACCGUGGCGGUGAAACUUGGCGAACGACACCACGUAGCCCUCGGGCGGCUGAGGCGCCCUGUGACUCACCGGCGGCGCGAUCCACUCUGGCGACGACAGCGAGGUGCGGCGGCGCAGCAGUCCCUCCUUCUCAAGCUCUAACAGCCGGCGCUCCGUCAUCGACGACGGGCGCCAGUCGUCGGCGGCGACGAGUCUUACAGGCAUCUCGGCUAAAGGGACGGUGGGUUCGCUACUGCUCGAGGGGGCGUGUGCGCGUGAGAUGGCGAGAAAGCAAAGGCAGCGAAGGAAUAAGAGCAAGAAGGCGGAAGGGAGAGGAACGGCGGUGACGCGACGACGUAUUUAUAGGCAGCUGUCCGCCAACGGACAGAUCCGAGAAGUAAGGUAACUCCCCCCAUAAAUGCGCCGCCUGACAGUCCUCUCUCUCUCCUCACAGGCCGGACUCUCCGAAUUCCUCGCCGAUACAGUGUCGUAACGUCAUCCGCCUAAAAAGGCGCGCCCAACGGGCAGAAAGGCGAACCGCCACGGCCGUUUCCUUCCCUCGUAAGCCAAGGGACGUAACCACAAAAGUCUCGAGAGGUCGAUGGCUGGCCCGCCAAAAGGGUUCGACAGCCGAUCUCGAGCGCCAGAGUCAGGGAUCCCCAGCGAGCGGUCGAAGAUCGAGGCCCGCCUCGAGGACUCGCUGGCGAUGUUCAAGGUAGGGUCGAGACAGUCGAGAGGAAUCCCCCCGACGGGAGGCAUCGAGCCGCCGGUCUCUAUCGAAUGAGACUGGUAUCCCCGACCACGUCGACCCUGCUUUAUGAGGACGCCUCCGGGCUACAGCUGACCCCCUCGAAAGGGGCACAGGUUCUCACUUGGACUACCCGCUAGGAACUCAAUUUGGGGUGGAAGACGCUCGCUCUAUCGAGAGUACGUCGAAACCCCCGGGCAAAAACGAGCCAGUCAGAAUCUUCCACCACUGGUGUCGAAAGCAUUUCUGUGAAUUAGACAACAUAACCCUCGAAGGAGUCAAAAACUCCUCCGAGGGCUCGGGGGCUACUGUCGAGGGUAUCGGUAAGGGGUACCCUCAGCGAUGCGCAUUAUGAGAUUGCCCGUACGAAGGUCGAGACCCUCAAUUCGACGCUCUAAUCUUACGUAUGCGCCGCCAUCGACGGUCGCAGCCUCGAAGACGGAAAUAGCGUCGAGCGAAUCGGUCAGGGCUCGAGCGACGACUGCCGUCGAAAACGGAAGCGGGCUCGAGCGAACCGAGAGGCGUCGGGCGCAAGGACACUGUCCGCCGCCUGACGCGCGCACGCGGGCCGGAGCAUUAAAUGCACCUGACGCUUCCCCACCUAACACACGGGUCACGGAAGGCGUGAUAGGGAACAAGCUUCUGUCCCAUCGUUCUUUUUGCAGCCUUCCCACCGAACGACCCAGGGCGUGUCAGGACGCAGGAAACAAGGAUGGAACGUCUAAUCGGGACCCCCUCGAGACACCCAAGGUCAGCGCUCCAGAUAUCAGCAUAUUACACGGCGUCCGACCCUCGACCGAACAGGGUCCCUUCCUAGGGACAAGUUGGGCGUCGACUGACAACACCACAGCUACCCCGCCGGAUCCGCCACCAUACCGUACAAGCAUGCGACCUCAGAACCAGCACAAGGCGGCUGGCAGGGCAGAACGCAGGAGCACGCGUAAUCAUCACCGGGCUAUCAAGAUGGGACGGCUCGAGGCCAUGCCGUACGGAAGCCUCGAGUAGGUCAGCGCUCCAUGCGGCUAUCGAUCCCUACUCUAACAUCUACGCAUGUACCCUGUGUCUCUCCUUGGAGCUAUAAAAGGAGAAACUCAGGAAUAGAAGAAGGGGACAUCACAACACAAGACCACGCUCAUACGUAGUAAAGCUCCACACUUCAUACCAUGCUUGUAUUCGCCCCUGUACAAGCACUUAGGUGCAAGAUAAUACAAACUCUCUCCCCCCGCUGGACGUAGGGCCUUCUCUUGCCCGAACCAGGAUAAAUCUCUGUGUCUUCUUGCAUCACCAUCCGGAAAAGGGAGCACGCAUACAAAUUUACUCGUUGGUGUGACCCCCCGGGGGAAAAACACCGACAGAAGCUAAAUUUAUUCGGCAGUGUUGGUAUGCCAAGUGGAUUUCCAAUGUCGUUCCAGUUUACAAGAAAAAUAGAAAGCUUCGAGUUUGCAUUGAUUUCAGGAAUCUUAACAAGGCUACGCCGAUGGAUGGUUACCCGAUGCCAGUUGCCGAUUUACUAGUUGAUGCUGCGGCUGGACAUCAGAUCAUAAGCUUCAUGGAUGGCAACGCAGGAUAUAAUCAGAUAUUCAUGGCUAAAGAAGAUAUUCCAAAGACUGCAUUUAGAUGUCCUGGUCAUGUUGGGCUGUUUGAAUGGAUAGUCAUGACCUUUGGCUUGAAAAAUGCUGGUGCUACCUACCAAAGAGCUAUGAAUUUUAUCUUUCAUGAGUUCAUCGGCAAGCUGGUAGAAAUUUACAUUGAUGAUGUGGUGGUUAAGUCUGGGGAUUUCACAAAGAAUCUUGCCGAUCUGCGAAAAGUGUUGGAAUGCACAAGAAAACAUGGUUUAAAGAUGAACCCUAACAAAUGUGCAUUUGGUGUGUCGGCAGGGCAGUUUCUUGGUUUCAUGGUGCAUCAGAGGGGAAUUGAAAUUAGCAGAAGAUCUAUCAAUGCUAUUAACAAAAUAGUUGCUCCUACUAACAAGACUGAGCUCCAAUCUCUGAUCGGCAAAAUAAAUUUUAUCGGGCAAUUUAUUUCCAAUUUGUCUGGUAAAAUUCGUGCUUUUAUUCCUUUACUUAAAUUAAAAGCCGAUCAAGAAUUUAUAUGGGGAGAAGAGCAACAGUUGGCCUUAGAUGAAAUCAAGAAUUAUUUGACAAAUCCUCCAGUCUUGAUUCCACCUCAGCAAGGAAAGCCCUUCAGAUUAUAUUUGUCUACCGUUGGGAUGGUCAUCGGCUCGGCUUUGAUUCAAGAAUUUGAAGGGAAGGAGCGUGUGAUUUACUAUUUAAGUAGAAGAUUGAUUGAUGCUGAGACCAGGUAUUCGGCCAUUGAAAAAUUAUGUUUAUGCCUAUAUUUUUCUUGCAUUAAGUUGAGGCACUAUUUGCUAUCGGCCGAAUGCACUGUUAUAUGCAAAGAUGAUGUGGUCCGAUAUAUGCUGUCCAUGCCGAUUAUGAGUGCUAGAUUCAGUAAGUGGAUCUUGGCACUGUCGGAAUUCGAUCUGCGUUACGAAUCAACCAAAGCGGUUAAAGGGCAGAUUAUGGCCGACUUUGUGACUCAACAUCGUGGUGUAGUGGAGACUUUGGAAAUUGUGCCUUAGACGUUCUUCUUUGACGGAUCCACGUGUGACCGAGGGGCAGGAAUCGGUAUAGUGUUAAUUUCCCCUCAAGGAAGGAAGUAUGAGUUCUCUUUGCCGAUUGUUGCCACGUCAACGAAUAAUCAAGCCGAGUAUCAAGCUUUGAUCAAGGGGUUGGAAUUGUUAAAAGAAUUUCUUGCUGAUGCUGUUGAAAUCUUUGGGGAUUCUAUGUUGGUUAUAAAUCAAUUGGCUGGAAGUUAUGAAUGUCGAAGUGAAGUCCUGAUAAAUUAUUACGAAAAAAGUAUGCGACUAUUGAAGGAGUUCAAGGAUUUCCGAUUAGAGCAUGUUCCUCGGUUACAUAAUGAGGAAGCUAAUCGGUUGGCUCAGCAUGCCUCGGGAUAUCAACCCAUACUGAACACGUUAUCGGCAAUCGGUGCCGAUGAUUGGAGAAAGGAGAUUAUUGAUUAUUUAAGGGAUCCAUCUAAGAAGGUUGAGAGGCGUGUCCGGUUUCAAGCUACCAAGUACGUGCUCCUUGAGGAUGAGCUAUAUUAUCGAACAAUCGAUAGGGUUCUUCUCAAGUGCUUAGGUGAUGAUGAAGCUAGAAGUUUGAUGGGAGAAAUCCAUGAAUGAGUGUGUGGAGCACAUCAGUCGGCUUUUAAUAUGAAGUGGAUGAUCAGGAGAAAUGGGUAUUAUUGGCCGACUAUACUCGAGGAUUGCUUUAAAUAUUUCAAAGGGUGUCAAGGAUGUCAGAAAUUUGGCAAUAUUCAAAGGGCGCCCGCAUCGGCCAUGAAUCCCAUUAUUAAACCUUGGCCGUUCCAGGGAUGGGCUAUUGACCUAAUCAGCUAGAUUUACCCACUAUCGAACAAAGGGCAUAAGUUCAUCUUAGUUGCCACUAAUUAUUUCACUAAGUGGGUUGAAGCUAUUCCUUUGAAGAAAGUUACAUCGACUAAUAUGAUUGAUUUUGUGAAAGAGCGUAUUAUUUACCGAUUUGGUAUUCCUCAAACAAUUACUUCUGAUCAGGGUACUAUGUUUACAUCGAGGGAGUUUGAUGAAUUUGUAAUCGGCAUGGGGAUUAAAGUGUUGAAUUCUUCUCCUUAUUAUGCUCAAGCCAAUGGGCGGACCGAAGCGUCUAACAAAGGAAUUAUUAAACUCAUCAAACGAAAGGUUGAAGAAAAUCCUAGAAAAUGACAUACGUCAUUAAAUGAGGCUUUAUGGUCGUAUCGAAUGGCGUGCCAUGGGUCAACUAAAGUUUCACCUUAUCAGUUGGUGUAUGGACACGACACCGUGCUACCAUGGGAGAUUAAGACCGGAUCUAGGCGACUAUCUUUUCAAGAUCAGCUGGCUGUCGAUGACUAUGCUACUUUGAUGAAAGACGAGUUAGAUGAUUUAGCAGGACAUCGCCUGAAGGCUUUGAUAAGUAUAGAAGAGAAUAAAAAGAGAGUUGCCAGAUGGUAUGAUAAAAAGGUAAAGGCUAAGGAAUUUGCCGAUGGAGAUUUGGUAUGGAAACUAAUAUUACCGAUUGGGGCUAAAAGUUCAAAGUUUGGCAAGUGGUCUCCCAAUUGGGAAGGUCCUUAUCGGAUAAGUCGGUCUGCUCCUGGUAAUGCCUAUAUUUUGGAAACUCUCGAAGGAGUUGAAUUUCCCAGAGCAUUGAAUGGAAAAUAUUUGAAGAAAUAUUACCCAAGCAUAUGGGUUGAUGCAUAAAAGGUUUAAGUGCCGAUAACACUCCUAUCGGCUGGGUUGAAAUGUAUCUGGGACUAAAGAUGAUGUUUCAAAAGGGUGCCGAUAACAGUCCUAUCGGCUAGACCAAAAUGUUCAGGAGUUUUUAGAGAAAGAGUGAAGCAUGCCACCGAUGAAGAGUUCAUACAUUCAGCAGGGCUUGGAUGGCUGAUAUAGCGCGCAGACGGAUUUGAUCGGCUUCUUCUAUCUCCUUGAUAUCUUCAUCGGUAGAGCCUUCCACCGGUUUCAGCUUCUUCUUCAUCUGUAGUGCUUUGCGAGCUUGGACGUUUCGCUCUUGUUCGAGGGUCUUGAUCGUCUCAGGCAGCUGACUUUCUUCCUGUUGAGCUUGGGACAGAGCUUCUUCUACUUGUUUGAGCUCUGCCAACAGGGCUUCACUUUGUGCCGAUAGGUCGGAGAUCUUUUGUUUCAGUAUAUCUCCUGAGGAUUUUAGAAUGCCGAUGCUCUUGUGUUUCUCAUCGGCAAGACGCUUUACUUUCAUCACCUCCUCUGAAAGCUGGGCAUGAGUGGCUCUAUCGGCAAGGCGUUGAGUGGCCUUUUGGUACUGGAGCUGUCGACUCUCCAAGUGUGCAGCCUUGAAGAGGAUCUCCUCGACAUCGGCAGGGAUUUGGCCUCUGAGAGCUUUAAACAGAGCCUUAGCCGGAUCGGAGUCAUCAACCAGUUGGGCUGUAUCCUGAUGAAGCAGGGCCAGUAAAUCUUCUAGCUUUGCUCUGAUUUCUACCGAUGAAAUCCCGAUUGCUUGAGAAGAGCUUGCUUCCUCGCCUUCAUCAUCGGAAAUUUCGAUGGCAAAGGAGAACAGGCUAUCGGGGGAAUCUUGUUCCUUAAAAAGAAAAGGAGAUAGGUUAUUUGAUGAUGGAAUGUUAGUAAAAUAAAGGAUGAUAAUCAAAUAGCUUACUUGUUUCAAAGCUAUCUCUCUCCUCUGGCUAGUUGAGGCCGAUGGUACCACAGGUUGAUCGGCCGGAGUUGCCGAUGGGACAAUGUCAGCUAAAAAAUUAACAGGGAUAAUUAUAAGGUGGAAAGAUAGGUCCAUCGGCAAUGAUUUCAUAGAUAGUACUUUACCUCGAGGGGGUGCGAUGCUUGUCUGAAUUGAGGAGACUACUGAUGCUAUGAUUGAGCCUACUGGAUCGGCGGUCUGUUCAUGUACAUCGGCUGAUGUCUCUUCUGGCUGAGGUUCUUCUUGUGGCUGAGGAGGAGACGACACUUGUUGUGUCUGAACCUUUGGUGAAGAAGGGGACGAUUCCACAUGAAUCGGUGACCCUAGAGGAGGUGUUGCUGUUUUCUGACGCUUUGCCUGUGACUUAGUACUCUUGGGGCCCUUUCUCUUAGCUUGACUGGCCUGGGGGGCAUCGGCGCUUGUCUUGGUACUUCUGGUCUUUACUGAUUUGCCGGAUUGCUGAUACAACAACAAAAGUUUCAUAAGUACAAGCGUGACCGAGUUGAUGAAGUUUUGGUUGGAAUAGUAAAAAUUACCGAUGAAGUUCCCAUAGCAGCCGAUGUGUCCUGAAAGAAUUAUGUAAGUAUAGAAUGGAAUCGGUAUAAGUUGAAGAAGUCAAGAAUUUACCUUGAAAGCUUGUGCCAAAGCAGUAGCAGCUACCGAUGGGGAUGUCUUCGCUCAUCUGGUGGUAAUUUUCUUGAAACGCACACCCCGGUGCAUUAAAGCUGCCAAGCUUGGCGCAUUGUUACCGAUCAGAGAGAUCGGGCCCGAUGGGAGAAGUUCGAUCGGCCUUCCGCUCCUGCUGACUAUCGGUGGUGUACCAUCGACCUGAUUAAAGAGAGAGGAAGUAAGUUACCGAUAAAAAUAAAAGUAAUAUAAGAAGAUUGAAGCAUCGGUUGAAAACUUACAGUGUUCUCAGGAAUUUUGUACUUGGGGUCGAUCAUGCUGCGGUAUGUGAGGGCCGAUCUACAGAACAAGUGUUCUUUCCACUCCUCCCACCACUGCUUGUAUGCCUAGGUAAUGAAGAGAGCCAGGAUCCAAGCCGAUAGAUCGACGUCUGUAUCGACAUUUGGUGGAAGUUGAGCUAUUCUGAUCCACUCGAGACCGCUGGUUAUGGUUUCCCUUGGUUUCACCACAUCAGCGUAGCAGAGUGCAAUCGACAGCUGUCCGAAGGCUAGUUGGCGAGCUAGUGCCGAUGGGUUAUAGAACUCAUAGGUCAGAUUGGAGGCUUUCCCGCUACCAAAGAAGUUCACUGGUAUGGCUCUCGGAGUUAUGAUUGCCAUCAUCAGAUCCUGGUCCUUGUUGAGAGCAUUGUCAAAGGGGUGGAAAGUGAGCGGGAAUCUGGUUUCUGGAUCCUCAUAAGGCAUCCAUGCCCGCUGGUCUUUGGCUAAACCCUCAUAGAGAGUCUGAAAGAAUCGGCUGACUUGGUCCUCAUUGCCACCGGUACCAGGUAGAACUAUGGCAGCUUCACCAUAGUUCAGAGGAGAGCGAGUUGCCGAUUCUUCUUCCUCCAACUCAUGAUCUUUGGCUAUGUCUCUUGGAAAACGCUGUGCAAAAAGGUCGAAUCCAAGGCAUUUAUGCAUAUGGACACUGAGCCACAUGUUAACAAACCACCAAGGUCCCCCUAAGUUGCCGAUGGAUUGGCCUAGCAGGAGUUUCUUAGCUACCUGAUGAAGAAGGUGAUAAACAGAGCCGAGCAAGUAUCGGCCAAGAGGAAAUCGGCCACCAUUAGCCAAUCUCUCUGCUGCCGAUAGAUAGACAGAGGUUGGUCCUACCGAUCGGCCACAGAAUACAAACUUAUCUAACCACAUGUUCAAGAAAAUUGUCUGCUCCCUUUCCCCGACAGAUCCUGUUUUUCGGUACUUCUGAAUGUAUCUAGACCAACUGCUGAUAGCGCGAGUCUCUACCUUAGAACUGGGCUUGGUGUCAAACAGAUGACUGUUAUCGGCAGUGGAUAUGUCUAAGCCGGUGAGCAUGAAUACAUCGGCAAGAGUAGGUGAAGCAGGGCCAUGGCCGAGUACAAAAGCAUUGAGCAUGUCUGACCAAAAGUAUGAGGCAGCUAUUAGCAAUGACUCGUUCCUCUCCAUAUUGGCAAGGGAUAAUCUGAUGCACUGGUCUAAUUUCCGCUCACCCCAUUGGACUUCAUUUGAAUGGCUGACUCUCAGGAACCAGUCUUUCCAUCCCUUGGUAGGACUGGGCCAGGAACGAAAGGCAUCUUUCCACAGAUCUAAGGAAAAGUUUUCGGCUCUGAAGGGGAUUCUAUUUGUCUCUGCGUUUAUCAGAUCGGUGGGAUCUGGAUUUCCUAACGGGCCGAGACAUUGGAAGUGAGGUUGAUCGGUGGGAAUUACGAUCUUAUCGGCCAAAUCCUAAGAAGUUUUGAGGAUGAAAGAAUAAAAAAAUGGGGUACUGUUGGUGCAAAAGCUGAUCUGCAAACACAAAGGGCUAAUACCCGAUUUAAACGUUAAGGCGUGCCAGCUGAUUUGACCUUACUAUCGGCAAAGGUAAUAACUCAAAUACUUUGGUCCCGACAACAGCGAUACGCCCGGAUGCCACGGCCAAGAGCUAUUCACGUGGAACUUGAGAAUACGCCGAGCUUAAGUCAACGAACUUCUAAGAACUCGUAAUGAAAAAGGAAAAUAUGACGAAGUCAUCGAAAAAGUAGAUACUGGAAUAUGAGUAGAAACUUGUAUUUGAUUGAUUGAUAGAUUAAUUACAAGGCCCUAGGGUCUAUAUUUAUACCCUACUCAAAGAGCUACAACCAGACACGACUAGAAUUCGAAUUCCAUAUUUAAUCAAAAUCUGUGUACAAAACGAUUUAAAUAACUAAGGAAAACAUAAACCUAUCCUGCCGCGAUAGGCUGAGACACGACCACGGAUCAAUUGGCGACCUCCAAGUCUUCCUUCCAUGUCAUCGGUAGACUCCCCAUCGGCAACGAUUAAUACUGGCCAUCGGCAUAAACACAUCACCAUCCACGGACUUAGCCAUAUUCAGCUGUCUUCUCGUCGGCAACCGCCCUCAUCGGCAACCCUUCUGCAGACCAGUAACCAUUACUCUGUCUUGCCGAUCCACACUCUACCGAUCUUGGAUACGUGUCCAAAAAUGGUGUCAACAGGUACUCAGUAAAAGGAAUCGCAGAUGAAUAGGAGUACAACAAAAGUACAUAAAGAAGAAGGAUGGUAGGCUGACCUUAGGAACGACGAAGUUGAUGGCCAUUUCUUCACGAGGAAGAGGAUCGAAGACUUGGGGGAUUGGUGAAGGAGGCUCUUGCUGAAGUUCUUGGAGUUCUCGGGCAAUGCCGCCGCCAGGAAAGUGUAUUUUGAGCUGUAGAAUGAUAGGAUGGUGAAGGAGUACUGGAGAAGGAAGUAUUUAUAGGACAAAAUGGGCAGGGGCAAAUCUGACUUAUCUCUUUGCCGCAUCCGUGAAAUCCGAGGGUGUUCAGGUGGAUAUGGUAACUGUUCGCACGGUAAUCAAAGGAUUGCGCAGGUGAUUUGACAGCAAGCGGUCAUGAUUUUGGAGAUAUUUUAUUGUGCAAGAUCGCUUGGUCGGCCCAUCGGUAGUUCUCUCUAACGGUAAUAUUGCCGAUGAGCGCAUAAGUGGGGAGAUUUGAUUGGAGAGGUUGAGAAAUUCGAGGAAUCUACAGGGGAAUCGGGUCAAUAUUGUUCAGAUUUGACCGCUGAUCACCCAAAUUGGGAGAAGUAAUUGUAGAAAGGCGUCAUUACUGCAGAGAAUUUUGGAGCAUUAAUGAUUUUAUACUCUGAAAUUGGGGGGCAUGUGUUGACACCGUUUUUGGACACGUAUCUGUUUGACACGUACUUGUAAUUAGUGAAAUGUAGAUCGACAGAUGGGGCAAUGGUGACUAGUCUACCGGGAAGUUGCCGAUGAAGGUGGUUGUCGAUGGGGGACAACUGAAUAUGACUAAGUCCAGAAGUGAUGACUUAUUCGUGCCGAUGACCAAUGCCGGUGUUUGCCGAUGGCUGUAAUAGGUAGUAUGCCGAUGACUCUAGAGAAAAGCGUCGAGGUUGCCGAUUGAUUCGUGGUAGUGUCCCGAUCGGUUACGGGGGAUAGUUUAAUGUUUUCCUUAGUUGUUAGAAUUCGUUUUGUAUGCGGGUUCCGUUUAAUUUGGAUUUUGAGUCCUAGUCGUGUCUGGUUGUAGCUCUUUGGACAGGGUAUAAAUGUAGACCCUAGGGCCAUGUAAUGAGACAUCUAUCAAUCAAUCAAACACAAGUUUUUACUCAUAUUCUAGCAUCUACUUUUUGACGACUUCGUCAUAUUUUCCUUUUUACUACGAGUUCUUAGGAAUUCGUCGAGUCAAACUCGGCGUGUUCUCAAGUUCCGCGUGAGCACCUCUUGGCUGUGACAUCCAGGCGCAUCGCUGUUGUCAGGACCAAAGUGUUCGAGUUACCACCUUUGUCGAUUGUAAGGUCAAAUCGGCUGGCACGCCUUAACGUUUGAAUCGGGUAUUAGCCCUUUGUGUUUGCAGAUCAGCUUUUGCACCAAUAAAUAUAUACAUUUAUAGCACAAAUCAUGAAUAAUUUAGAUUAAAAACAGGGAAGAAUCAGUAGACAUACCUUAGGUCCUUUGUAUGAUUACUGAAUUUCCAGUAGCAGUGCUGCAAUAGAAGUGGACAACACUUUUAUAUGCAAUUGGGCAUCAAUACAAGUGACACAAAAAAUAGAAAAUAGCAAGUUAGGUACUUAUCUGUGGUCUGAGCCUUCUCCCAUCCAUUAUCAACAUUUCAGCAGCAUAGGAUAGGUAUUUUAAAUCACAAACAUGAAGGGACAACAAGCAACAACACAGAAUAUAAAAUGGAUAGCAAACUAACAGUACAUUACAUCACAUGAUUUUAGUUCUCAGAACACCAAACACAAGCACACAACAGCAAAGAGUUCUAAGUUCAUAUGUUAAAGAUACAUGAAGCACACAAGAUAAUAAAAGCUGAAAAUAUGACAUGAAGCUCUCACACACACUUCUUCAGUAGGGUUCUUCAUCUUCCAUCACAUAGUCAUCCUCUUGCUCAUCAAACUCUUCUUCUUCGGACUUAAAGUCUUCUUCAUGGAGCUGUCUCACCCUUGGACUUCUACGCAACUCUAGUUGUUCUUUUGCUCCCAUUGCAUCUCCAAUUACAGACCAAGGUAUCACUGUAUCUUCCAUCUGUUCCUCAUCUUCCUCAUCUCUAAAUACAACUAAUGCACACUCAUCUCCAUUCUCUUGGAGGAAACCUUGUGCUUCAGUUGUAUCACUAGAAGCAAGAACAUCAGUAAUUUUCUUUGACUUAAUCUUUGCUCUCUUAUUCAUCAGCCUGUUGUUGAAUUGAAUGAAGACCAACUUUUCAAGGCGGUCUGUAGUCAGCCUAUUCCUCUUCUUAGUGUGCACCUUUAAAUUAAGAAUAAGGGCACUUUUAGUUCUACAAUAUAAUUGAAAUGCUGCUGAAAUUUUGAUUACAGAUAGGCACUAACCCCAUCAAAGCCACUCCAAGUUCUUUCAUAACCAGAAGCACUAGAUGUCAAAGAUAAGAUCUUUGUAGCCAUCUUCUGUAGAGCUGAUGUUUUAGUUUAAUACAGGCUCCACCAUGAUGCUGAAAUGAAAAAUGUCUCUAUUAGUUAGUAGUUUACAACAAAUUUCUUGUUAGAUAAACACAACAAACAACAAUGUGAAAUCAGCAAACAUCUUUUACCUAGCCUAUAAUCAAAGUUCUCAUAAGUCCUUGCAAGUUUCUUGCUAAAUGGUCCAUCUCUAUUCUAAAACUUCUGGAGUUCAAAGUUGGCAGCUUGUGUUUGCAUCUCUUCAUCAUGAUAAUAGAAAGUCUCGACACAACUGAUAAAUGCUACUGACAUUUUGGGAGCAUCAAAGAUUGAAGGGUCAACAUAGCUGUAGUGUGGAUUCAACAAAUAUGCUGUCAAAUGCAAUGGUGAAUCAAGUCUGCCACCCAUCUUCUUGUCUACAAUUUCAAUAAUAUCCUUGAAACAGGUCUCAAUAUUGACAAGAGCCUCUUUGAUCUGUCUCUUUGCCUUCAAUAGUUCUCCAUAUACAAAACCCACGGAUGGCUUCACAUCUCCAUCAACCAUAUGGAGAACUUUGAACAAUGGCUCAAAAACAGCUAUGGUCAACUUCACAUCCUUCCAAAAGCUUGCACAGAAUAUAGUUGCUGUGGCAUUUUUUCCCUUCUUUGAUUUCACCUCCUUCAAUGAGUCCCACUUACUAUGCACAACCAUCUUUCUUAGCUGGUCCUUCUUCUCUUGUAUGCUAUUCAAAGUCAAUUAGUUGGAAGCUGUCGACGAAAGCUGGUCGCCAGUCUACCUUGGGGUAUACCCACGACAGUAGUUUAUCGGUAGACGAUGCGCAAGCUAUGAACUUGAUGGUGACGCAAGACACAGACAAGCUUUUUAUCCAGGUUCGGCCGCCGUGUGGGCGUAAUACCUACGUCCUGCGUCUGGUUGUAUUGGAUUGUGUUGAGAGAUAAUGUGUCCUAGGGGGGUCCUUUGCCCCUCCUUAUAUAGUCCGGAGGGCAGGGUUACAGAUUUGGAAACUAAUCCUAGUCGGCUACAAUUGCCAUAGAUAGUACAAUAUCAAUUCCUACUCUAACCGACUAGAAUCUGGCUUGAUCUCCACGCCUUGUUUCCUUGCGCGAAACUCCGAGCAGUUGGAUCAAGCCUCGGACUGUCUUCAUGAUGGGCCAAGCCUCCUGGCCCAAGUCUAGCCGUAAGGGUAUAUGGGUUUAUACCCCCACAGCUAGUCCCCGAGCACCAUGUAUUGUGAUGUAACACGCCGUCUUGAGCUUCUUCGACCAGGAAGAAUUGAGAUUUUUGACGACCAGGAAAGUCGCCUAGGCAGUUGCAACUGUAUUUCGACCAACUUGAAAAUCAGUUGACCAACAUCAAUGUCGAAGAAGUCGGUUGUUCGAAGAAUGCAUGGUGCUCUUGAGAAGAAAUAUUCUUUCCCCUGGUGAAGUGUGCCCACUUUACUUUUCCAAAAAGUAUAGACCUCCACAAAGCAAGCAUAAUCACCGCAAGGUGAAGUGUGCCCACUUAGUCUCCGAGUCUGGUAGUAGGUGACGUAGGCACGUGGUGCGAGGGUCUAGAGAGAAAACCAUAUAAAAAAUCUGAUACUGAAAUGCAUUGCCAGAUGCAUCGUACCGAUGUAGUCCCCGAGCUUGCUGGAAGGUGAAGUAUGAGCCUUGUAGCAAGGUCUAAAAAAUUCAAUUUACCAGUCCCCGAGCAUAUCGUUCUCAUCCACAACCGAAAUAAACUAAUCAUCCAAUCUCCGAGCGUAUCAUGAUCAUCUGCAAUGGAACAGACUAGCCGACCAGUCCCCGAACAUAUAACGCUCUGUGGUCGGUACAUUCCCAAACUCUCAAAUUGGUAGGCUGGUCGACCAGUCCCCGAGCGUAUAAUGCUCGGAUUAGUCGGUACAGUCCCCAUGUUCUUAAAUUAGCGAGCUGGUCGACCAGUCCACGGGCAUACAGAGCUCGGUGGUCGGUACAGUCCCCAUGUUCUCAAAUUGGUGAGCUGGUCGACCAGUCCCCGGGCAUACAGUGCUCGGUGGUCGGUACAGUCCCCAUGUUCUCAAAUUGGUGAGCUGGUCGACUGCUCUGUCUUGGCGACCAUCCCGCCUUGUUGAAAAGGGAUUGGAUGUGCUGUGAGUAGUGAACGGCUGAGUUAUUUAGCCCAUAGGGAGGACUCUAGUCUGGGUCUGCCUUGAGUUCGACGGAUCGCCCUGUGGGGGUGGAAGUUAUUGUCAGAGACGUCCCCAGCCGUUCGUGUGUGACGACACGAGUUGGCCGGCAGGAGUCGAAAGAGUCCGUCGGCGCGACUUGAUCAGAUUGGCGCGAGAUCCCAUCUACUAGUCGGGAAGCUUCGAGGAGUCUGAGAUCGGCGUGAUCGAGGGCUCGGAAAAGAUCCGAGUCGUCGACCUUCUUUCCCCUGUAACGAGGGAGCGGUGGUCGAGUGCUCGGUGUCAGCGUGAUCGGAGUCGACGCCACUGUCGUCCCAGAUCGGAUCUGGGUUUCUUCCGAAGUCGUGGUCGUGAGGCCUCCGCCAUGAGUCGUCCACGUGAUCUGGCCGACGGUGAACGUGAGGCCUUCAGGCACGGCUGCGGAAGCUGGAACGAUGACCGUCUUGUUCGCCGAGAGAACUGUACGCACACCCCCUACCUGGCGCGCCACUGUCGACGAAAGCUGAUCGGCAAUCUACCUUGGGGUAUACCCACGGUAGUAGUUUAUCGGUAGACGGUGCACAAGCUAUGAACUUGAUGGUGACGCAAGACAUAGACAAGCUUUUUAUCCAGGUUCGGCCACCGUGUGGGCGUAAUACCUACGUCCUGCAUCUGGUUGUAUUGGAUUGUGUUGAGAGAUAAUGUGUCCUAGGGGGGUCCCUUGCCCCUCCUUAUAUAGUCCGGAGGGCAGGGUUACAGAUCUGGAAACUAAUCCUAGUCGGCUACAAUUGCCAUAGAUAGUACAAUAUCAAUUCCUAUUCUAACCGACUAGAAUCCGGCUUGAUCUCCACGCCUUGUUUCCUUGCACGAAACUCUGAGCAGUUGGAUCAAGCCUCGGACUGUCUUCAUGAUGGGCCAAGCCUCCUAGCCCAAGUCUAGCCGUAAGGGUAUAGGGGUUUAUACCCCCACAGAAGCAAACCUAGUCACUCCUGGCCUUACUAUCUCUUUGCCAUCAGUGAAGCUUCUCAUGCACUCUAGUGUUCUUGUGUGGUUGUAGACAAAUAUGGUGAAUGCCUUUGCUUGGUCGACCACCUUCUUGAAUCGAGGCAAAUUGCAAAUUCCUUGGAGCAUCAAGUUGAUAGUGUGAGUUGCACAAGAGGUCCAAUAGAUGUGUGGUCUCUUCUCUUUCAGUAGCUUCUUUGCUCCCAUGUUGUUAAAAGCAUUGUCAGUCACAACUUGCACCACAUCAUCUUCACCAAUGUCUUCAAUUGCUUUGUCCACUAGUUCAAAGAUAACUUCACUUGUGUGUGACACAUCUGACACCUCUUUUGAAGUAACAAAAUUGGUUCCUUCAGCACAAUUAGUGCACACAUUAAUUAUGCUUCUCCUCUUCUUAUCUGACCAAGCAUCAGUCAUAACAGAACACCCAUAUUCUUCUACCAGAAAUCUGCCUCGCAGGUCAAACAUAGUUGGAAGUUCAAAUCCUGCCCCAAAUUGACCAAUUGCUUCACACAUUUGCUUGAACUCAUCAUUGUCACAUGCAUUGAAUGGAACAGCUGCCAAUGUUAGAGAAAAAAAAGGAAAUUAGUAAGGAAAUCUGAUGAUAAUGCAAUCUGAAAUACAAAUACAGCAAGUAAAAGGAAAUAUAAAUACAACAAGGAAAAGGAAAUUACCACGGUUAAAUGCCCAUCUUGCAAUAUAUUUCCACACUUAAUGUAAUCUUUCUUUCCAAAGCUCCUUGUUCAGCUUCUAUUGAGUCAAAGAUUCAAUUCUGGUUGUUGUAGGAUCAAUAUGCUGCUUCAACCGAUAAACCGCUCCAAACAUUUGCUUGUCACAGAGUAGGCACUUCACAUUGUCCUUGUUGCUUGGAUUAACAAGAACCCCAAACUCCCAUCCCACAUCAAAUGAAUUCCUUCUCAAGACACUUGCUCCCUCUGUUGCACUUGCCUGAGCCUCUGUUCAUGUCAUCUGAAGAUGGCAACAAAAUCUUAACUGAAUAUAUGCAUGAAAUUUCACAGAUCGGUCAACAAAUACUUGGAAUCAGAAGAUGGCAACAAAAGCUUGACUGAAUAUACAAGUAUAUGCAUGCAAUUUCACAAAUUCAUCAUGCAUUCAUUGAUUCACAAGAUAUACAACAUGCAAUUAGUCAAGAAUAUCAUAGAUACAUACAUACAGUCCACAAUUUCACAGAUUCAUCAAGGAAUCAGAAUCAAUCAAUCACGAAUUUCAGGUUUCAAGAAAGGAAAUAGAGGAAAAAUACAAAGAGAAAGGAAACAGAGGAGAGGAGAGAGGCAGAGGAGAAAGGAAACAAAGUAGAGGAGAAAGGAAACAUACAGACCUUGGGGCUUCGGCUGAGGGAGGAGACCGGCGUUGGGGAGGACCUGCAGCUGCAUCUGCGUAGCCGUCGGGGAGGAGCAGCCGCCACGCAGUCCGAGCAGCAGGCGCGCGGUGAGGAGGACGAGCAGCAGGCACGCGGUGAGGAGGACGAGCAGCAGGCACGUGGUGAGGAGGACGAGCAGCCGCGCGGUGACCAAUUGUUGCGGAAGCAAUGAGGUGUUGACUGAAAAUUGCACACCUCAUUGCUUCAAUCCAUUAUUUGUAACAAAUAAAUUAUUUUAUUUAUUUAUUUAUUUAUUUUUGUAUGGUGAUAGUUUUGAGCUGCAACUUAUGAAGAAGCAGUUCCUACAUGUAUUUGAACCUUUGAUUUGGCAAGAGGAGUCAAAUCUUUAGUUAAUACAUAUGGUUUAUUUAGAGUUGCCUUAAUACCAAAACUAUUGCUAUUUCUACUCCUACUUCUUCGCCAACUGGACAUUACAAUUAUAGUGCAUAUAUGUGAAGAGUUUAUCUUGGACCUAGCUUUGCCCAGGUUGGAUGGAACCGUAAAGAACUCGAGCUAGCCUUAUUUAUCUCUCAUGUCAAGUUUUUAGCUCUCUCUGUAACACGUGGACAAAGUUUUUGACGUUAUAUUAUGAUAAUGGAUGGCCUGUUUUUUAAAAAAAGGAUAAGAUGGCUAAAAAAAUAAGACUAGACAGAUGAUUCAUUAUUGUUAUCAUUCCAUACAUAGAAGUUUAGCGAGAAGUAUGGGAGUCUAGCCAACUUCUAACAAGGCUACAAUAUGAGACAAAAUGUUCCUUGUCUUAACGUGCACGUGUAUGGUGUCGCUGAAUCCUAACGUGCACAUGUAUGCUGUCGCGAUGGCCUCUUUUAUGUAUCUAGUAUGUUAUCCAUUUGGUUCGUGCUAAAGUCAACGGUCUGCACAAUAAGAGUGAAAUGGUCGUCUCAUCAUAUUAAAAAAAUGUUUUUUAUAACAAUAUAACAUGUUUAAAGUAUCAUGACAUUAUUUAUUUUCAUUAAAACACAAAUUUUCUCAUGUGCACCAAAGCUAGCUUCCCCCUCGAUCCAGAUUCAGUGACUUUGCUUUAGCAAGUCACCUUGUAACUUUACCCCAAUCUCCUCCAUCCAUUCUUCAUCUGAUGGUGUUGGUGCAAAAGCUGAUCUGCAAACACAAAGGGCUAAUACCCGAUUCAAACGUUAAGGUGUGCCAACCGAUUUGACCUUACAAUCGACAAAGGUGAUAACUCGAACACUUUGGUCCCAACAACAGUGAUGCUCCCGGAUGUCACGGCCAAGAGGUGCUCACGCGGAACUUGAGAACACGCCGAGCUUGACUCGACGAAUUCCUAAGAACUCGUAGUAAAAAGAAAAUAUGACGAAGUCGUCGAAAAAGUAGAUGCUGGAAUAUGAGUAAAAACUUAUGUUUGAUUGAUUGAUUGAUAGAUCAUUACAUUGCCCUAGGGUCUACAUUUAUACCCUGUCCAAAGAACUACAACCAGACACGACUAGGACUCAAAUUCCAAAUUAAACGGAAACCGUAUACAAAAUGAAAUCUAAUAACUAGGGAAAACAUUAAACUACCCCCCGUAACCGAUCGGGACACCAUCAUGAAUCAAUUGGCAACUUCCGUGCUUUUCUUCAGAGCCAUCGGCAGAUUAUCUGUCCACAGUCAUCGGCAAACAACGACAUUGGUCAUCGGCACGAAUACGUCACCACUUCUGGACUUGGUCAUAUCCGAUUAUUUCCCAUCGGCAGCCACCUUCAUCGGCAACUUCCCUACAGACAGGUCACCAAUGCUUCAUCUGCCGAUCUAUAUCCCCUUAAUUCCAGAUGCGUAUCAAAAGAUACGUGUCCAACAACGGUGUCAACACAUGCCCCCCAAUUUUGGAGUAAAAUAUUUCCAAAAUCAUGACCGUUUGCUGUCAAAUCACCUGCGCAAUCCCUUGAUUAUCGUGCGAACAGUUACCAUAUCCACCUGAACACCCUCGGAUUUCAUGGAUGCGGCAAAGAGAUAAGUCAGAUUUGCCCCUGCCCGUUUUGUCCUAUAAAUACUUCCUUCUUUGGUACUCCUUCUCCAUCUUAUCAUUCUACAGCCCAAAGUCCACUUUCCUGGCGGCGGCAUUGCCCGAGAACCCCAAGAACUUCAGCAAGAAUCUCCUUCACCAAUCCUCCAAGUCUUCGAUCCUCUUCCUCGCGAAGAAAUGGCCAUCAACUUCGUUGUUCCUGAGGUCAGUCUACCAUCCUUUGUCUUUUCGCACCUUUGCUGUACUCUUAUUCAUCUGCGAUUUUUACUGAGUACCCCUUUUUUCUUUUUGCUCUUUCAAAACUUUUAGGAUUUGGCCGAUAAGAUUGUAAUCCCUACCGAUCAACCUCACUUCCAAUGUAUCGGCCCAUUUGGAAACCUAGAUUCCACCGAUCUAAUAAACGCAGAGACAAAUAGAAUCCCUUUCAGAGUCGAAAACUUUUCCUUAGAUCUGUGGAAAGAUGCCUUUCGUUCCUGGCCCAGUCCUACCAAGGGAUGGAAAGACUGGUUCUUGAGAGUCAGUCAUUCAAAUGAAGUCCAGUGGGGUGAGCGGAAAUUAGACCAGUGCAUCAGACUAUCUCUUGCCGAUAUGGAGAGAAACGAGUCACUGCUGAUAGCUGCCUUGUAUUUUUGGUCAGACACGCUCAAUGCUUUUGUAUUCGGCCAUGGCCCUGCUUCACCCACUCUUGCCGAUGUACUCAUGCUCACCGGCUUAGACAUAUCCACUGUCGAUAGCAGUCACCUGUUUGACACCAAGCCCAGUGCUAAAGUAGAAACUCGCGCUAUCGGCGGUUGGUCUGGAUAUAUUCAGAAGUACCGAAAGACUGGAUCUAUCGGGGAGAGGGAGCAGGCAAUUUUCCUAAAUAUGUGGUUGGAAAAAUUUGUGUUCUGUGGCCGAUCGGCAGGACCAACCUCUGUCUAUUUAUCAGCAGUAGAGAAACUAGCCAAUGGUGGCCGAUUUCCUCUUGGCCGAUACUUGCUCGGUGCUGCUUAUCACCUCCUUCAUCAGGUAGCUAAGAAACUCUUGCUAGGCCAGUCCAUCGGCAAUCUAGGGGGACCCUGGUGGUUUAUCAACAUGUGGCUCAGUGUCCAUAUGCACAAGCGCCUUGAAUUUGACCUUUUUGCACAGCGCUUCCCUAGAGAUAUAGCUGAAGAUCAUGAGUUGGAUGAAGAAGAAUCGGCAACUCGCCCCCCUCUGGACUACGGUGAAGCUGCCAUAGUUCUGCCUGGUACCAGUGGCAAUGAAGACCAGGUUAGCCGAUUCUUUCAGACUCUUUAUGAGGGUCUGACCAAAGAACAACGGGCAUGGAUGCCUUAUGAAGAUCCAGACACUAGAUUUCCCCUGACUUUUCAUCCUUUUGACAAUGCUCUCAACAAGGACCAUGAUUUGAUGAUGGCAUUCAUCACUUCGAGAGCUAUACCGGUGAGUUUCUUUAGCAGUGGGAAAGCCUCCAACCUUACCUAUGAGUUCUACAAUCCAUCGGCAUUGGCUCGCCAAUUGGCUUUUGGGCAACUACCGAUUGCGCUAUGCUACGCCGAUGUGGUGAAACCAAGGGAGAUUGUCACUGUUGACGGUCCUUAAGUACCAAAUAUAAUCAUCAAAUAAAUAAAGAAAAGGAUCCAAAUGCAACCAACACCUAGACUUAGGGUUUUAUCUGACAGAAUUCCACGAGUUUUGGUGUUUGUCUAUUUCUGCAGGGGGUUAUCAGGAAAUAUGGAAGAAAGGCCCACACGUCGGGAUUACAUAGAGAUAUUAACGUGCCGCGCAAUUAUCUUACACCUAGAAGACUCCAGAAGCCACGGGAAGGAAGCGGAGGCCGAACGGGGCCAGGCACUGGGCGCCCGCCCUCUGUUGGAUUCGAUUUAGAACUCUCUUCGCGGACUAAGCUCCACCGACCUAAAGGAUCAAGGAUAACCGUCCAAUCAAUGUCAGUUUGAUCCAAUGGCUCACGUUCACUUGAGGGGACUAUAAAACCAGACCCCCUGGCCCCUGGAGGAGACAAGUUCAUCAUAGAGUUGAGAGGAGCCCUCGAAGGAAUACCUCUCCUCUAAAUAAAAUUUCUUUUAGGCUUAGCAUCCAAUGUGAGUAGAAUUAGAUCUUCUAGUUUCUACUAGAUUGAGAGAUAUAGAGUGGAGGUGUAGAUCGGAGGAAGCCCGGCCUGUCGGUGUCUACUCCGAGGUUGUACCUGCUGGAUCAAGUCUUCUAACCCGAGGCUUGCUCCUAGGAUUCUUCAGUAUUUCGACUUCUAAUUCUAGUAAGUUCUUGUUUUAUUGUUCUUUGGUUUAUGAGUUUACUUUAAUCUGUUCCAGUUGAGUAUUAGAGUAAUCAUUGCUAGCGUAAACGUGGUGUUUUGGCUAGGGUACUCAUAGAUAUCCCCUGACUAGCUGCACUGUGGUAGUAGCGAGGAACGUGAAAUUUCUGAGUUACCUUUGCAGCCCACAUCUCGUUAGUAGGACGGGUGUCACAGAACCGACCAAAUUAUAAGAGUUCAAGUAUAGAAACGAUCGACAAGCAAUCAAGUUUCCAAACUUGAGCCCAUAUAAUCCCGGUAGUCAACUGAAAUCACGAAGGACUUCAACCAACUUGCAACAAACCAAGAUCGUAAUAGUUCAACACAAACACAGCGAAUGUUACAUAGCCAUUCAUUGCCGACGAAGCGGCACCACAUCGGAGUUAUUAAGUUAUUACAACACAUGUUCGAAGCAGUGUUAUCCUAAACGCUAAACGGUAAACAGUCGGUCACCCUUCGUUUAGCGUUUAAACUGUUUAGACGGUGUUUAAACGGAUUAAAACGGUCUAAACGGUUUUACACAAUAUUACAAAAAUAUGCAUAUUUUUAAUGUAAAAUCAAUCAUUCUAUCAUUUAUACAUAUUUAUGCAACUAAAAAACCAUUUAUUUUAUUAUGUAUAUAUGUUUAUGCAUGUUAAAUGAAUCAAAUAUACAUAUUUAUGCAUGUAACAAAUCAAUUUUACAUAUUUAUAAAUAUAAUAAAUUUAAGUAUACAAAUUGUUGAUAUAAAAUUCAACUAGAUUCACCUAGUGUUUGCCUAAACGGCCGUUUAAACAGCCGUUUAGCAUGUUUAAUACUGUUUAGAACCGUUCCGUUUAGGCCGUUUAGACCGUUUUUUCCCUUUUUUGACCGUUUAAACGGUCAACCGUUUAAUUUCCUGUUUACCCCUAAACAAAACAGUUUACCACCGUUUACCGUUUAAUGACCGUUUAAUCGGCCGUUUAGGCCGUUUAGGCGAACACUGGUUCGAAGUAGCGGAAGCAAAAUAAUUACACACACUUUCCAAAGUUCAUUUCACAAGUUCUUGUUCAGGUAGGGUCUCAUGCCAUCCAUCCAAAAGCAACAGAUACGAAGUGGUUAGAGAACUGUGCCCAACGGUUAGUCCUCAUCCCCAGCGGGAUGGAGACAGGUCUUGCAGAAGCCAUCAUAAUAGAUAUCAUCUACAACAGGUGGGAAUAAACCCUGAGUACGAGAAUGUACUCAGCUAGACUUACCCGUCUAGUAAAACAUAAAAGACACCAAGGAUCAUGCAAUGCUAAUAUCAAGUGGAGCUGGUUGACUCAACAUUUGACAAAAGCUUAACUUACAACUACAAUGUUGUGCGAGCCUCAUUUAAUCAUCAUCAGCCUACCACUAGAUUAGCACCUGUACUAAAGCACUUCACUUGAUUAUUACAAGCAAUAAUAACCAUAUCAAGCUCAUCAUGUGUUCUUCCUUGCUAUCAUCAUUAUCAUGAACCGAGUUCUUUAGUGAAUGCUACGUUUGCCGCUGCUCUGUCAAGUUCUCACUGACCGGGAGAGACGGCGAUUCAAAUCGAAUUCCUAUCCAGCUGGAGGGGUAUUCCUAGCACUCACCCAAGCAUCACCCGUCGGAGAGCCAAUUGGUCACCUUUGGUACGACUCAGGAAUCGCGGUUCCGAUCAGCGCCCAACUCCCAGGGCUACCACUCUGUCAGGGAGGUCAAGAAUUUUAACUCACCUGCCUUUGGACUUAUGCCAAUGGUCCUCCGCACACUACACUUCCUCCGGUAGUGCGCACUUUAUACUUAUCGACCUUCCGGCCUGAGUCAUAUUACUUGGCUUCGCGGUCGGAACGAGUUAUCCGGCCAACUAAGUGUUAGGCAUGCGUUCAACAAGACAAGAGGACGUACAACGGUCGGUCCUUAACUGCCACAGACGGAGUUACUACAACCUUACAAAACUCCGCCCGGCUUAAGUCUAAUUAAUCAGGUUCCAUCCACGAUAGCACAUAUAGUCCAUCGUGAUCCAACAUAACCCUAUAUCGCGCAGGUGACAGGAAAUCACCCGACUUCUACCGAUUAAAGCAUGGCUAAGCUGCUACUCGAUCCUAUUCUAUAACCAGGGAGUGGUAAUAUAUCUAGACAAGGAUGGAGUAAAAUGCAGCAAAGGUUUCAUCACAACUCCUAUACCUAAUGCAUCAAUAGAUAUAACAUAUUAAAUAAACUUUUCAAAAGUAAAGGGAGACUUAGAAUGCUCCGGGGCUUGCCUUUCACGAACGAAGCUGGCUCAUGGUUCGGGCACUCAACUUCUUCUUCAGGCUCCUCGAGUUCGGCUUGCUGGACCUCCACCUCCGGGUUGCCCUCCUGGCCUUUGGGGUUCACUUGCAGCUCGAAGGAAGCGGUCGCGUCCGAUGCACCUAUUGCAUGCUCAAUGAAUAAGAAGAUGUGCAUACUAAAGGAUGAAUGCUUGAUACAUAAUUAAACUCACUGGACACUCAUUUACGGAGUAACAGUUAUAACAAGGUCACACAAGAUGACAAGUUAACUUAGCCAAAACCUACCAAGUUAAAUCAUAACAAGAAGCAUCACAUAACAGAGCAGCUCAGUAAACAAACCAUAACUAUUGCUACAAAGAUCCAACAAACUUAAGUGAGAACAUUCUGGAAAGCUUAUGAAAUUGUCUACAAAUAAUCCUUGAACAUCACAGCAAGAUUCAUAGGUUAACUACAUCAUUUAAACAAAGUUCCAGGUUGUAUCCCAGAAAAACAGAAAGCACCUAUUUCUGGAACCCAACUUGGAACAGCCAUAACUUUCAAACUACUGGACCAAUUGAUCCCAAAUUUAAACCACAGCUAGCUCAUAAAGUUUACAACAACUUUGAUUUAGACAAGUUUCCCAGACAGCUCAGAUAUCAACAAGUCAAAGUUGAAUUACUCCCUUGCUGUCCAGAACAGCCUUUAAUCCCUUUAAUUAAUUAUUUGAUGACAUAACCAAAACAUAAAUAGUGCCAACCAAAUAGCUUAUCAGCAUAAACACAACAUAAGACAACCAGAACAUGAUAUGAUGACCUCCAAACAUUUACUUAACAAGGCAUUUAUUAAUUUAAUUCUAGAAAGGAGCAUAAUUACAGAAUACUAGUAAAAGUACUCAGAAAAAUCUACAAAAAUUACAGAAGCACAAGCAUAGCAUCACAACACCACCAUAAAAUUCUCAGAGCAAAUGCACAUGCCAAAUUAAAGAUAGGCAUUUAACAUGUGACAAGGUGUUUAUUUCAUAAAUUCAGAAACAUGGCUUACAUGGUGUCAAACAGCAGAUUUCAGAUUAUUUACAUGUUACUAAUACCAAAACAAGUUUGCCACCCAAGUAGAGCACCAGCAUAAGCACCAAUUAUUUGCUAUGAUUUUAAUAAGGAAACAAGCCAUAUCUUAAUCAUAAAUUACCUAUCACAGAUAUAGUACUCCAAAAAUCAUGAAAUAUUUAUCAUAGUAUCCUAGUAUCACACAGAGGCUUCCAUAAAAUUUUUAUAGCAAAAUAAGCAGUAUAACAAGAGAUAUGAAUUUAUUCAUGAAAAAAAGAUUAAAUCCUAAUAAAUACUUUCCCAGAAAACAUGGUUCAUUUUAUAUUUUUAUUAAAAACUAGCCAUCUCAAGGAACAUCACAAAAUUGGUUUCACAAAUUUUGGAUCCACAGAAACAGAGAUAUGAUUUUUGCAAGAAAGCCAAAAACCUGGAUUUGAAUAAAAGAAUAGGAGGGAAACAAGUGUCACUGACAGCGGACCCCACGCGUCAGGUUCUUCUCCCUCACAGCCGAGGCGACUCUCGCCGGCGAUUUCUCCAUGACAGCGAGGUCUCCAGCCAAACCAAGGGCACCAACGUGAUCCCCAGACCUUUGCGACUCGAUUGACCCCCUUUUUCCCACGGCGGAGCCACCGGAAAGGGCUCGCCGUCGAUCAUGGCGGCUUGGCGGAGGUGCUCGGCGUUACGCCGGAGCCCUCAGGCCGGUAGAGCGUGACCUAGGGUUUCCUACAGCACUAGCGGACUACGGCGAAGCUUCCUAGGUAGGCGGCUUGGCUUGAAACGGCGUGGAACACGCUGGCCACGAGAGACCCUUACUCCGGCGGAAACACGGCGGCGCUGCGCAUCGUGUCCGGCGACGGUGAGUGCGGUAGAGCGUCCACCAAAUGGCGCAAAUGCUCGCUAAGAACCUAAGCUACCUCUAGGACCUAACCAGAGGAGACGAGAGGCUCCGAGGAGCUCAGCAUUGAGUUCGCCAGAGAAGAUGGUCACGGCGACCCGAUUUGGGGGAAGAAGGAAACGGCGGUUCACCGGUGGGUUUCGCGGCGAGCUAGCGGGUGGAGAGUGGAGAGCGGUUCACGGCGGAGCUGUGGGCGAGGUUUGGUCGACAGCAACGCAGCGAGGAGCGCGUACGAGCUCGGCGGAGUGAGCUCGCGGCGGUUAGCUCGCUGCGGCCGCGUUUCUGGCGAGAGAGGGCGAGGCAGAGAGCAGUGGACGCGUCCACUUCGCUCGGGACGUCGCCGUGGAGGACAUGCGCGCGCUGGGAGCUGACGAGCGAGGCCAGGAGCGACGUACGGAUGCCAAAUGUCGACGGAGCUCUGCCGCCGGUCGGCCACGUCGAUGAGCUCGGCCUUGAUUCAGUUAAAACGAUGGCCGACUAAAAGAGCUACUUUGACAGCGAUUAACUCCCAAACCAGAGCGAGUUAGGAGAUGAUGCAGUUGACAAAGUUGGAGUACUAGCUGAGUUCUACAACAUUGUCAAUUGGAGCAAAAGCUAGAUCGUCCUGGAUUGAGAGAUAUAAAGUUUUCAAAAUCGAUCGAGCAAACUGUUUGUGUUCCCGGACUUAGAAAAUUUUCCAAGUGUUGGAAACAGCCCCAAAUCUGCAUUGUGGUUCAGUUUUGAGCUAGUUGUGAUCAUUUUCAUGAGAUGGCCAUAAAACAACUUUUGUUCCUUAUAAAAUUUGCGACAACUUUGCUGUAGAAAGUUUUGACAUGCAAACAUUUUAUGAAACACUUUUUAAAAGCCUAAGCAAAAGAGGUUUCUAGAGCCUACUUGAGUAAGUAUGACUUAAGUGAGUAUUUUGGAGAAAUGACCAACAUGAACGUUGCUCCUAAGGUUGAGUUAAACAUAGAUAAACUAAUUACCAAGGCAUAUAGCACAAACACAAGCAUGGUUCACUCAAGCAUAAGCAUAGGGAGCCUAUUUAACCAUUUAAAUCACAUUUUUGCAUAAAAUGACAUGGCUCAAGGUAGAUGAUGAUCAUGAUAUUCUUUGAGUAGAAGAUGAUGCUCAUGUUAUGCAUGUGAUUUAUGCAACCAUAACACUGGGGUGUUACAGCGGGUAGGUUUAUAGGUGCGGGUCGAACAUCCUUUGUGGUGUCUAGAUUCCGUAAGCUUCCCCAAUAGAACAGUAGAUCAUCCUUACCAAGGUUAGAACGAGACUACGGUUGCAGUCUUCUCUAUACAUCGCUCACAUCGAGAAACAUUCUUUGUAGCCUAAAGGGAUAGUAGCAAUAGAUUUGGUUAGUCAGAUGCACCCUUUCUCCCAGUGGUAAAAAUAUAAAUACGAUACUCUGGAAAACCUCCCGGGUGAAAUGCUCACCGAUAUCUGUGAGGUUGCAGGUCAUUUCUUGAUGGCGUUACCAAAUAUCAACAAGCAUUUCUGGCGCCGUUGCCAGGGAGAAAGAUGGUUUGCUGAGAUAACUUUGAGUCUUGCUAUUAUCUUGUAUUAUACUUUUAUACUUUUAUACUUUUAUCUUUUUAUUUUUUUUUCCAUCUUUAUGGAUAACUCAAAUUCCAUACCUAUUAUUGAAUUCUUUGCACCUUCGGAGACCAGCCAUAGACCAUGGGAGUCAACAAGUCCUUUCUUUUCCCCUAAUUAUGAUUUGUGUCCGGAGUUGAUGGUAAUAGGUCAAAACCAACCCUUUUCUAUAGUUGAGGUCCUAUCUUUUAAUCAAGAAGAUAAUGCACUUUUAGCUACACAUAGGGAAUCUGUUAAUCUUUCUAUAAAUUCUGGUUUAGACCUAGCCCUACAAGACCAUGUUUUUUCUCAAUAUUUUCACAUUGGUCUUAAUCAUAUAACCGUUGGUAGAGUCUUUCUUUCUUUAUCUAUUAGUAAAGGAAGGUAUAUCUUCAUUCAUGGACAUCCUUCUUGCACUAGUCUUCAUAAAAAAUUCCUAGAGAUAGAGAAGGAAUCAUCUCCCAGACAAGGAAAGGAAGUUUUAAUAGCUGAUUUCCAAACAUUUCAAUCCCAUAAUUCGGCUAUCCAACCCAUCCUUGAGCCUAAUAAUUUCUACUAUGCUCCUUCUCUUGAACCUCCCGAUGACCCAAUGAAUCUCUCUAGACAUCCCAUGCAUAAGAGUCACCAAGACCAUAAGGAGGAUCGAGAAGAGCAACAUCAAUGGCUAGAGGGUAUUAAAAAUCCAUGUGCUAUCACCAUAUUUGAGAUCUCCAAACAUCUCUUCCUUUCUAUUUAUAACAACUUUAAAAGAGUGGUUGUCGAUGCAUAUGUCUAUAAUAAAUAUUGCAGAUCUCCUUGAGUUGAUUGAUGGUUUCCCAAAGACAAGCUUAGUGUCCUAAAACAAGUAUUGAUGAGAUCGUAACAUGAGCUGUUAAUUAUUUGCAACAUUACCUUGUGUAUUGAGCAUAUAAAGAUAAUUGUAGAAAUAUUCCUUCGGGUAUUCGUGUCACUAACCUUUCUAGGAUUGGAGCAAGAAGAUCUGAGGAAUGACAAGCACAAGGUAUGUCCAACCAAUCAUCAUGCAACAUUGAAUUAAAUUCAUCCAAUCUUGAAUUUUGCAAAAUUCAAGCUUGGGGGAGUACUUCACAUGAAAACAUCCUUUGCCAAGUUGCUAUGUUGGUUGUCCCUACCUUUGAGACAUGCUUGAUUUGUUAAAUACUAAUCACACUACUUCAUCUCCACUUGAGUAGAUCUCUAUAAAAGCCAUCAUGCUACCUUUGUUUAUCCUAGUAAGUGUUAGUUUGGAAGUACUAGACAUACUUCCAUUGGCAUUUAAAUUAAGUGUGGUGCUUAGGUUAAAUAGCCUUCCUUAAUCUGAUUAGACAUGGAGUCUAGUUUGGUUACUGAACUAAAAACUGCUUGAGUAGGCAUUGGUAUAUUUUGUCGGACUAACCCCUGCAGGAAAACUUUCAAUAUCAACCUGGGAAGUCCUGAGAUACAAACUCAUAUUGGAGAUAAAGGAGACAAAUGAAAUUUAACGACUUGUACAAGAACGACAUAGCUCAUUCAUCAUAAAGAGAUGAUCCAUGGAGGGUGCCACAAACACGAUGCACAAUCGCUAAGAAAGGGAAGCUUCUACAAGGAGAUACUAUACCAUCACUCUUCAAGUAAGGUAACAUCUUAAAGUACUUGACUAUCACUUUUAUAAGCUUCUCCGUGGUUCUAGCAUACACAUGAAUAAAAGAGACAAACAUGUAUGAUUUGUAGCUCCAAAUUAACCAACUCGAUUAAUUCAACAUGUUUAGUCCUUUAAUCAUUGUUCCUAGUACUACCUUCGUGAUUCCACACUCCUAAUCAUAUAAGCUAAUAUGUUGCACAUUCAAUCUUUGGAAGAUAUAAACAAAACAUAAAUAUAGAUAGAUUAUCUUUCCACUAGGUUGAGCCAUCUGAUCUAACAAAUGCUACAUAUGAUUUUAUUAUCCAUCAACUUUGCCUUGCUCACUAUGCUUGAGGUUAGAGAAGAACAAAUACACUUUUGGUUCUGUUGGUGUUUUCCACCAACAGGGCCCAUGCACUUGAUCUCUGCCUUGUCUCUAUGAAUAGGUACACUUCAAAAAAAAUAUGGAGGAGUUUUACGACUCCCAGACUCCACCAAGUGAAGGACCUGAAUCUACGAGCACAAACACACUGAGCAGGAUAUUGCCAACACCGCACUUCGAACUGCUAAGCAAACGAAGAACAUAGGUGACACUGUAUCAAGAGGUGCAGACGUCAAGGUCCACACCUAAUCAAGUGAUGCACCUAAAAGGAUGAAGACGGUGAGAAGUCUUGUCCAGAAGACUUAAAACAUUGGAUCCUUAUCAGAGGAGGUCAAGAUCGUCGACUCAAGUCACCUUUCCUGAUCAAGAAAGAAGACCCUGGUGUUCCAAGCAUCAAGUGCACAAUCAAUGGAUACUCUUUUCAUCAGACACUCUACGACACCGAAUCUGACGACAACAUAAUGGCCGCAGUCACUUAUCAGCUCAUGCAUGGAACCAUGCCCCUACAACCAAUAUAUAUUCAGCUCCAGAUGAUUUUUAGGUCAUUGACAUGGGAGAAGACAAGUAUGAUCCACCCACGAUCCUUGGGAGACCGUUCCUCAACACUAUCAAAGCCAUCAUCUAUAUUGGAACCGGAGAAGUCCACAUGCACUUCCCUCUGAAGAGGGCGACGCAACCGAAACCAGAGGAGGCAAAUCAUCAAGGACGGAUGGGCAGACUACGAAGGAGAAGUAGUAAGGUCUGAAGACAUACAACUUGAACAGAAUUGUCCCGAGGAGACCGUAGCACCGAGUCAAGUGUGGAGAGAGAAGAUAGUUAUAGCAGUCGGAAUCACUGACUAUGCCAUCCAGCGAAUCCUAGGACGACUGAGAAAACGGAGAAUCCCGUUCGAAGGAUUCAAAAACACCGAACGCCUUGCCAAGAGGUAAACUUGGUAGUUAUCCUUUUUCCUAUUUAAAAUAGUUUGCUUAGUUAAUCAGGUUCCUACUAUCUCGAAAAGAAAAUAAAAAUGUUAAAAAUAGUAAGCCCCAUGUGAGUAUGCUCAUGGCAUAAAACCCAUAGGUACAUUCACUGUGGUGGCAUAAAAUAAAUAUAUUUUCAUCUUACAAUAAAAAUAUAAAUAAUAAGUGCAUGAUCCUGCUAAAUAAAAUUUAUUAGGAGGAAGCUCAAUAUGAUAAAGGCAAAGAGAUUUUAUGCUAACACUUAACCAGUUCCACAAAGCUUUGUUGUCUAUUUGAGCUCCAUAGAAUUCAAGGAUCAAAGAAGACUAGCAGACGGAGGACAUCCUAAUCGUUGUCAGGGUGCUGCCGACUUUCGAAUACAUCACCACCUGCUAGCUACAUCAGAAGAAAUUACGUCAAAAUCCAGCUUGGGGGAGAGUACCCCCAUUUAUCCAGCUAAGUGUUUCUACUCGCGUUUAUACUUUACUCAAAUAAUAAAAAGAUGCAUAAUCAUAAAAAACCCAAAUAAAGAUUUUGUGCUUUUAUAUAUAUCUUUGCUUAGUUUGCUAAAUAAAUAAAUAAAUAAAUAAAGUUUGCUAUGAACCCUUAUGAUAAGCUCUCACAUGGAAAUAAUGAAUAGUUGCUCUACCAUGACUAGUUCUUAAAAUUGAAAUCUCUCUCAAGUUUAGACAUAACUGUUAUAAUUUAAACCUGCUCUAAACCUGAACUUGUGGGAAGAGUACUUGAUCUAAAGUCUAAGUUGUUAAUGGAUAUGAUAUGGGAAGGUUGAGCUGCUGUUUCUCUGUUCCUAGAGAUCCUAGAAUUCUGGAGAAUUUUAUCUUUGAAAAAUCUUUAAAAUAACACAUGAUGAGUUCCUGUAUGAUGAGAGAUUCAAAUCCUACCACAGCCAUAUAUACAUGCUUAUUAGACUUUGAGCCACACAUUUACUUUUUACUGCUUAUGAGCAUUGAGUGUGGUCAAGCUGUGUAGACCCUUAGGAGCUUGUCAUGCGAUUAAAAUCAAGAUUCACUUGCACGUUCACUCAUACAUGCUGCUUCUACUCCGGAAGUACGCAUCCACAUACAUCCACUCAAUUCCAUCUCGAGAGCCACCCUAAAGUGUUCUACUCCUAAUCCGGGAGAGAAUAGCCAAAAAUAUUUUCCUAUCCCUGUUAUUCCCUGUGAAAUAAAUGCUCCAGUUAUUUUGGUUACUACCACUUGCUAUAUUAUUUAAGGAGAUGAGUGCUCUAAAAAAAAGGAAAAAAGAAGAGAAAAAAAUAUAUACGAGGAAAUAAAAAGGGGCAAGUACCCGGGACCUCGAAGAAAAGAAAAAGUGAGACGAGAGGUAAAAAUGGACAAGUGUCCGACGAUAGAAUUAGGGGUACAAGAUACCCACCUGAGAGAAAAAAGAAAAAGAAAAUAUAGAGCAUCUCAUUCUCCCCAAAAAGCUUCAAAGUGCAAAAAAGGUAUGUAUCCCCUAAAAAGAGCAGAAGUAGAAUUAGACUUUCGCCAUUGUUAUCACCAUCAUCACCAUACACCAUUCACUCGCCACACAUGCACAUCUUGAUUUGACUUAUUGACUUGUUUCUCUGGAUCCAUGGUUUGACUAUGCAAUAAAUGUCUUGUAAGUAUGUAUUAGCUGUCUCCCACCUAUGAGCUCCAGAUAUCAAAACCUUAUUAGGGUAGGGUGAGAGAGAAGGCAAUAUCACUAUGCCUCAUACCACAAAUACUACAUACUUUGAGAGAAGGCAUAUACCAUUACUUCCUUGGAAAGGAUCCAGAAAUACCACAAAAGAGAGAUCUGAGAGAGUCAUACAAGGAAUCUCUGAGUUUUAUUUGAAAAUCUGCAAAAACUCCAGAGCUAUAGUUAAUCAAAGAAUAAGAUACACGGCGCUUAACUUGACCAUUCUAUCUUUUAACUACUCAAGACACCAGUGACGGUUACAAGCCCCAUGGUGAAAGGUAAAAUGAGUAAGUUUUAAGUCUUAACAGUUUACUCUAAACUCAGAGAUGAAAUCUUACUUUUAAGGCAUGAAACCACUGCAAAAACUCUUGAGUUCAUCCUUGCUCAGGGAUGAGCAAGAGGUAAGCUUGGGGGAGUUGUUGACGGUCCUUAAGUACCAAAUAUAAUCAUCAAAUAAAUAAAGAAAAGGAUCCAAAUGCAACCAACACCUAGACUUAGGGUUUUAUCUGACAGAAUUCCAUGAGUUUUGGUAUUUGUCUAUUUCUGCAGGGGGUUAUUAGGAAAUAUGGAAGAAAGGCCCACACGUCGGGAUUAAAUAGAGAUAUUAACGUGCCGCGCAAGUAUCUUACAUCUAGAAGACUCCAGAAGCCACGGGAAGGAAGCGGAGGCCGAACGAGGCCAGGCACUGGGCGCCCGCCCAGUUGACCUAGGCGCCCGCCCUCUGUUGGAUUCGAUUCAGAACUCUCUUCGCGGACUAAGCUCCACCGACCUAAAGGAUCAAGGAUAACCGUCCAAUCAAUGUCGGUUUGAUCCAAUGGCUCACGUCCACUUGAGGGGACUAUAAAACCAGACCCCUGGCCCCUGGAGGAGACAAGUUCAUCAUAGAGUCGAGAGGAGCCCUCGAAGGAAUACCUCUCCUCUAAAUAAAAUUUCUUUUAGGCUUAGCAUCCAAUGUGAGUAGGAUUAGAUAUUCUAGUUUCUACUAGAUUGAGAGAUAUAGAGUGGA